CUCUGCUGACACCUUGCAACUGGCUUCUUCAAGUACUACCCGGAUUGUUGCACUGGGUUGAACCUUCAACUAAAACAGCGACGAAGUGAGCCAAAACUCAUCUCCGAGACCUACCCCCUUACAGGGAGUAGUCUUACUUUCUCCUGACUAGGAACAAUUGGACUAUUGUCCUUGAAAAAUAACCAACACUUCUCUUGCUUACAAAGGCCCUCACUUUGAAAACUGAAACUUCACCGAUUCAUCAAAAUAGAGUAAUGACGGCGCACUUUCAUCCCAGCAAGAUUUGGAACUUAAUCCUCAGUUGCUGAUGGGAGAUUCCACAUAAAAGUGACUCUCAUUUAGCUCAGGGACACAUUGACUCUUGACUAACUUUCCCAUAAGUUCUAACUACUGGCAUGACUGUCCUGCUUCUAGCUUGACUUCGGUGUCGAGUUGCAUAGUUGAUUCCUCAAAACUGAACUGAUCGACUCUGCAUUGGAACUGACACAACUUGAGGAGUUAGGGAUGUGAUGACGCUGACGUCUUACCGGGGAACAACCCUCUAAGAUGUGCCCUGUCAUACAUCUUCCAUGGACACUUUGCAAAAACUGCGCUUGAAAACCAUAACCACAAUAGGUAGCAUAUAUUACUCCUGGGAUUGGUGGUGGCUUAGCUGUGCUGAUUUGCUGAGGACUUGGUGGCGUACUAUCUGAGGUUGCGGGUGCUUCCUCUUUGAAAACAAACUGACUAUCGCUCUGAUCCUGAUUCCGGCUUGCAUCUGAGCUUGUACUUGUUGUUGGAGACACUGUUGUUGCAUCUGUUGCAUCGGACUUUGCAUCUCCCGCAUCAAUACAUCCAUCAUCUAAUCUUGGACACCAAAUGUUGAUCACGAGCAGGGUUCUUCUGGCACUGGGAUACCUUGUAGCUUUCAACUGAACCAUUGAUUGGUGACUUUAAUACACCGUCGUUGCUCUUCUCUCUAACACUGACUAUCUUCUGCCAGGGCGGAAGAGAGGAGGAAGAGAGGGGUUGCUAAAGAUAAGGUACUAAACCACUUGCCUACUGAUCUGUCGUGAGUAGACUUUUAUUCUUCAAGUUGCUUAAGCAAACAACCUAGUAUGGUCGCAUCCCCACCAAUGAUGCAAACCAUACCCCUACACACAAGCAAACAACACACGAUCUAGAAAGCUAACGGAACUACUCUUCUGGGAAAGAUUGGGUUUAGGUCAUCUCCGAGAAAACAUCACUUGAUCUUCGCAGAACGACGACUCUGAACUGAUCUUCUCGCUCCUUGCACGAAGCUUGAGGCUCGAAUUGACUUGACUUCCGAACAGACAUGAAGCUGACAGCUGGUCCUCUAGGUUUGACAACUAAAAGAAUUGGAGAGACUGGGAGGAGAAUUUUGAAAAACUGUUUGACAAAGAAUUGCCGAAGGGCGAGAGGAGACAAUUUGCAAAUAGGGUUUUCAGAAAACUUGUCCUUAGGGUUUGACCAUUUGGCUCAACCUACAGUCGAGUUGGCUCUGAUACCACUUUGUCACGCCCAGAAAUUUAGCCCAAAUUUCCAGACUAUUUUGUGUAUUAAAUCCCUGUCCAGGACCAGCCAGGGUACACAAAACAACAAGUAUCUCGCCGCGCCGCCGUCCGCCGUCCAUCUCGGCCUCCCCUUCUUCCUCCUCCCGCCGGCCCGCGUGGCUGCCACGAAGGCGCCACGUCGGCGCCAGCUCGGCCGGACCGGGUCAAGCUGACCCCGGUAAGCCGCUCCCUCCGUCUCCCGCUCGCGCGCGCGGUCCACCGCGAGCCGUGAGGCUGCGCGUGGGCCCGACGCGUCUCGGUCCAUCCGGCGCACCGCCCGUGCGCCAUCCCCACCGAACCCUAGCGCCGCCCUCACGUGCGCCCAUCCCACCGUGGGCCGUGUCACCGACAAGCGGGCCCCACCUGGGACCCGCGAGGUGCACUCGGUCCACCGGACCGCUCCCUCUCUCUUCCGCGCGCCCUAAUGGGCCGCCUUCCCCGCGCCCACGCCGGCCCAAAUGGCUCGGCCGAGCCUCCUUCAACACUCGGGCUGCGCCCUUGCCGCCCGAAAAAGUCUAAUAUACAUCCCUCGUCCAUUUCCUUUUCCAUAAAUCAAUUCCUUAUUAUUCCGAAAUUCCAUAAAUCAAUUCCUUUGGUCCCACACAUCAGUGAAUGUCAAUAAUAUUCUUGAGAAUAUUAUUUCUAUAAAUUCCAUAAACCAUUCCUUACAUUCCAGAAAAUUCUGAUAAAUCAUUUCCUAGUCUGGAAAAUCCCAUUCGAGCUUCCAAAAUUCAUAUCUCUCAAUCCGUAGCUCCGAUUGACUCCGUUCAACUUCCGGUACUGCCGUAAAAUUGAGAUAUAUUUAAUGGCACUAUUAAUUAGUCUAAAUAGGGUCUUUCUUUUGGUCUUUCGUUUAGGUUUUGAUUGUUUGCGUAUAGCCGCGGUUACCGGAUUUUCGUCGAUCAGGGAUUUCUCGUAGAUUCGUGAAGCUUCGUGAAGACCUUGAGCAAGGAAAGUCACCCUUUGAUCAAUUUCUCCUAUAAUUGGAAAAUCAUUAUUAUUUUGUUUGCAACUUGCAUUUUUAGAGUCACACACAUAUAACAUGCUUGGCCUCGGUUUGCGUGACAAACCGACGGACCUACCCAGUAGUCGCACUAAUUCCUGUAGGUUGUACUACCCUGAUUCCUUGUCGCUCCAUCCUUGUGGUACUUCGGUAUUCGUGCUCUCUGAGUGCGUAUACCAAAUAUUCCACAUACACCGUCGAUUGUCGAAAAUUUGGGAAAUGGGUUUGAGAAGCCUUGAAAACCCGACAUGUGGUGUCGGUGUGUUUGAAAAUAAAAUGAAUUGUGAAAAUUCGCGAUGCGGGUGCCGUGCCUAUGUGGCACUGUCUCGUAUUUGCAUAUAAGGACCAAUUCCUGUGGGAAACUCAUCAAGCAUAACAAAGUGCAACCACAAGGUGGAAUGGGACACCCUGGCUAAGUAACUAGUCGGUUCAGGGAAACCUCGCAUGCCAAUAGUUGGGAACGCCGGGGCGGGGUCGAUUGGAGCCAAACCGGGUUCCUGGUAAGCAAGAAAGAGAAGCUUGCUGAAUUACCGAUCGAGGUGGUUGGAGUUUGAUUUGUGAAAACUAAAAUGGCCUAUAUUUAUGUGAGGAUUUGAUCCUUCUAUGUGGCAUGAGGUAUCCCUGGGUCGGCUUGGGAAAGGCUUUGUUGCGAACCUCCGAUACCGACGGGUGUUCGGAAUAAGUUCGUAUCUUGUGGGUAAAGUGUACCCCUCUGCAGAGGUUAACUAACUGUUCGAACAGCCGUGCCCACGGUCAUGGGCGGAUGUGAGGUGGUUCCCGUUGCGUAGAUUUGUUUGCCUGUGCUUUGUGAAAAGUUGUUGUGGGAUAGGAAUCGUAACCAGAAUCAGCCUAUGUGGCAGAUGGAUGGCCUGAGUGGUCAGAAACGAAUCUGUGUGAUUCGGGAUGUCUACGGGCAUCAUAGACUAGGCUUCCCGAGUGGAAGCGGAAUGUUGUGCUGCUGGGCAGCUGGACUCUGGGAGUCCGAGAAAAUGAAUAAGGCUCUGGGAGCCGCUUAAUCAAGUGAAAUGGCUCUGGGAGCCGAGAAGUAAUGAUCUGACCCGGGAGGUCGGUCAUUAUCAAUUGAGUUGUUGAAAAACAUCUCUUAAAGUUGAAUCGAGACGCAAGUCUCUUUUCGACCCAAACCUGAAAAGAAAUAAAUCACUUAGUGGUUUCAAAAUGGAUUUCAAAUAAAAGAUUUGCAAAACAACCUUGCCUCUCUUCCAAGCUUGCAUUAAACACCUAAAUUCCCGUGGCUUGUUGAGUACGAAAGUACUCACCCUUGCUCUAUAUAUGUAUAUAUAGUUCCUCCGUCGUGAAGUGAAGAUGAAGUGAAGUGAAGAUUAGGGUUUCGUCCUGGUUCCCAGCCGUCGCCUGUGGCGUUGGGUGUUAGUCCGUUGGUUCCACUGCUGCUGCUGUUGGUGUUUCCUCAUCCGUGACGUCGGUUGCAUUCUCGGGCUGCUCUUGGUUCCGCUGCUGCUGCUGUUGUUGGUGUUUCCUCGUCCGUGACGUCGGUUGCAUUCUCGGGCUGUUCUAAGCUGCAACCUAAGUUAAGGUAAAUAAGUCCUCUAUUUAUUUUAAGGAUUUGCAAUGAUUCAUAUUUGUCACCGUGGGUACCAGCACUAUGUCCUGGGACUGGUAACGAGAUCGCGGUUUCGUAGGAAGCGGUUCGCGCCGUUAUUCCUACGACACGCUCCUAUCAGGUGCCGUUGUACGGCGGUGCCGGAUUGGGGUGUGACACAUGCUGCGUGAACGAUGACAUGAAUUUUUUUUAUUUUUUCUUCCUUCUUCCCUCUUUUUUCCCCCUUCUUAUCUUUUUUUUCUCCACUUUGCCUCCUUCCUCUCCCUUCCGCAGUAUUUUUCUCCACACGAGGUGAGGAAGGAGAAAAAAGAUGGGAAGAAAAAAAAGGGAAAAAAUUUAGCUAUGUCAUCGUCCACGUGGCAUGUCACAUAGAGAAGACCACGGUUAAACUAGGCUUUGGACCGGGAUGAUACAUUAAACCAAGUUUAAGAAUCUCGAUACGUGUUUUGCAAGUUCGUGGAUCUAAGUGAAACUUCGUUGCAAGUUUAAUGACCGCUAAUGUAAUUAACUCUUAUAAAAUUGUAGCAUCCGGACAUUAAGCAAGCCAUUUCAGAAAUGGCUACCAAUACCCUGCACCUGCAGGCGAUUGCAUUAGCAGCAGUCUUGCUCAUCUGUCGCCUUUCGCCGGUGACACCAGCAGCGUCGGCUCAGCAGCUGACAGGCUGCCGCGACAAGUGCGGAAACAUCAACGUUCCCUACCCCUUCGGCAUCGGCGCCCGCUGCGCCCGCGAUGAAGGCUUCCAGCUCAACUGCGACGACAGCGCGUCGCCACCGCGCCUACUCACGCUUCAGUUCGAGCAACACCCGCAGCUCGUCAGCCUGUCCCUGGCCGAUGGCGAGGCCCGGGUCCUCCUCAAACCGGAAAGCAAGUGCUACCCUCCUCCAGAAGAGAGGUCCUCCGACGUCCCCACCUCCUCGUACACGUCCAUCAACGGCAGCACCACCUACCGCUACUCGCCGGAGAAGAACCGCCUCGUCGCGCUCGGCUGCCCCAACCUCGGCUACAUCGUCGACGGCUCCGGCAACUACGUCAGCGGCUGCAUGUCCGCGUGCCGCCGCCCGUCGCUGGGCAAUGAUACAGUGCCGCGGUUGCCGGGGCGGUGCACCGGCGAGCGGUGCUGCCAGAGCAUCAUACCACCUACCCUCAACUUCUACGUGCCGCGGAUGUUCAACUUCGAGAACGGGACGGCGGCGGUGGACAACGAGCUCCGCGGCGGCACGACGCCGUGCAGGUACGUGUUCCUGGUGGAGCACACCUGGAUCAACACCGUGUACAACGACACGAAGGAUUUCAACCGGAGCGACUUCGAGGCCGUGCCCGUCGUGCUCGACUGGGCAAUCCGGAACGUCUACAACUGCAGCGCCGCCAAGCGCAACGCGACGGACUACGCGUGCCGGAGCACGAACAGUGAGUGCUUCGACACCAUCGACGGCCAGGGCUACCGGUGCAACUGCUGCCAGGGCUACGAGGGCAACCCCUACCUCGACGGUGGAUGCACAGGUAGCAGUCAUCUUAAUUAACUCUGUCAAUUAAUUUCCAUAGAUUAAUUUGGCUGAUGAUCAAAUAUGACGAAAUUAAUUGCUUUGUGAAUGGAAGAUAUCAACGAGUGCUUACGUCCGGAAAAGUACGGAUGCUACGGAGACUGCACAAACAUGUUAGGAAGUCACACUUGCGUGUGCCCUCCUGGGACUAGUGGAAAUUGGACCGACAGGAACGGUUGCCGCCCAAAGGACAACUUCCCUUUAGCUCUUAAAGUAGUUACAGGUAAAAAAAAUUAUAACUGUCGUCCAUCAUGAAAAAUUACAUUCAGUCUCAAAAAUGGAAAUCUAACGGAGUAAUAUUGGGUAUACAAUGGCGUCGUGUUCAGGGGUUAGCGUCGGUGUCUUCUUGUCAGUGUUCAUGUGCUUCUGGCUCUACUUGGGGCUCCAGAAGAGGAAGCUCAUCAGAACGAAGCAGAAGUUCUUCGAGCAUAACGGUGGAGUGAUCCUCCGGCAGCAGAUGCACUCCGGCGGAGGCACCCAUGGGUUCAGGAUAUUCUCGACAGAAGAACUCAAGAGGGCGACCCACAACUUCGCCUCUGACCGUGUUCUGGGUCGUGGUGGUCACGGUGUUGUCUAUAAGGGCGUCCUCGAAGACAAGACAGUAGUGGCCAUCAAGAAGUCGAAGAUGAUGGAGGAGGCCGAGACCAAGGAGUUUGCGAGAGAAAUGUUCAUCCUCUCCCAAAUCAACCAUCGGAAUGUCGUCAAGCUGCUUGGUUGCUGCCUCGAAGUUGAAGUGCCCAUGUUGGUCUAUGAAUUCGUCUCAAAUGGCACCCUCUACCACUACAUCCAUGGCAAGGAACCCAAAGCUGACAUACCACUUGAUACUCGUCUUCGGAUAGCGGCAGAGUCAGCCGAGGCACUCUCCUACAUGCACUCAUCGGCUUCACCCCCAAUCCUCCAUGGAGAUGUCAAGACGGCAAACAUCUUGCUUGAUGACAAGUUUAACGCCAAAGUUUCUGAUUUUGGGGCAUCAAAGCUAGCACCAACUGAUGAGGCCGAGAUUGCAACGUUGGUGCAGGGAACUUGCGGGUACUUGGACCCCGAAUACCUUAUGACAUGCCAGUUGACUGAUAAGAGCGAUGUUUACAGUUUUGGUGUCGUCAUGCUAGAGCUUCUGACAAGGAAGAAAGCAUUGUACUUGGACGGGCCAGAGGAAAACAGGAGCCUGGUGUCAUGCUUCACCACAGCAAUGAAAGUUGGUCGCCAUCAAGAGCUACUAGAUAGCCAAGUAAGGAAUGAGAUGAGCGCUGAAAUGCUAGAAGAGAUCACAUACCUCCUGAUGCGAUGCAUAAGCAUGAAUGGAGAAGAACGGCCAACGAUGAAAGAGGUUGCUGAGAGGCUGGAGAUGUUAAGGAGAUACCAGCAGCACCCAUGGGCUGAAGCUGAAGACAAUGCAGAGGAGAUUGAGAGCUUGCUCGGCAGGGAACAACAGAAUGCAAAUUACCAACUCGAGCAACAAAAUGUCUUGUAUUUGGAAGAAGGCCGUAACUAUACAUUUAGCAUGUAGAUCACGCUGUUUUGAAUUAUGUUUUAUAAAUCAAUCAACACAGAUAUGACUUCUUUUUCUAUGAACAUGAAAAAGCAAAUUUAUGGCCAUUGCAGAAAGGACAAAGAGUUUGCAAAUGAAAUCUUAACAUGUAAAUCUUUCUUGGACAAUUAAUAUAGCUCCCAUGCAUAAUAAAUUGCAAUGAAAGAACCAUGUAGAAAUUCAUGUGGGAUGUAAUAAGAUUGCAGGAAAUCACAAAAUGAUAUAGACCAACGAUGUUAGGAAAUAAACCUGACCUUGUGUGUCAGGUCAGUCCGCGCGUGCGUCGUGUGUGUGUGUUUGUUGUUAACGCGUUCGUCGCAUGGAGCCGGGUCGUGCGGGUAGUGCGAGCAAAGGUCGGGGAUGGAGUUCGUGCUCCGUUGUGCGUCGCGCUGGGCCUAUAAAAGCACAUGUUCAUCGUAUUGUUGGCCACCGAGUUAAAUACAAAAAAGGCGGCAUUUGUUGCCAUUGUCAAGCAUUUCAAGCUCUGCCACUUGCUCUCGCGUUCGUGUGUGUUCCAACGAUCCUUGUGUGAUUCCAACAAACGAUAUGUAACUGUGUAACGUUAAAUGGCACAUGUACAUUCUUUCUUGAAGAAAAAAGGUGAAAGAGACAUGGUAUAAAGACAAAUCCUGACCAUUUGUAGAAGGCUAGAAUAGAUACAUUUAAAUAAGAACAUAAGGGAUUUGAAAACCAUCUCUAUGUAUUUCAGAUUUAUCAGCCACUAGAAUAAACAUAUUUAAUGAGAUAGUCAAGUUAAAUAUGACUAAAUAAGAAGGUAAGUUGUGCAUUCAUGGCGCAUUAAACAUAAAACACACACGUAUAUUCCACAAAUAUUUCUUUACGUACCUUUAAAUUGGAGAGGUGUGCAAUGAACUUCCUUGACAGAUGCCUAAUUCAAGCCUCCCAUCAUGGGCCUGUUGACGAAAAAAUCGAACACACCGGCCUGGGAGAUCUGCUUAGCUCCAGUGCAGGUCCAAAGGUUGUUGAGAUGCGGGCGUGCCAGUCAGUUUGAUCCUGCAACUGAUAAGAUAUGCAAAUAGUAUAUCAAAAUAGCCGAUUGGCUGACAAGCUGAUGGAGCAAUCUCAGCCGAUGCCGAUACCAGCCGAUAGCGAUAGGGUUUUAGCAAUCGGCUAUAUGUCCAAUGAUAUAAAGGCAAUCGGCUGAUGAUGGUGUAAUAAAAUAACAAUAUAAUCCAAUAUAAACCAAUCGGCAAAUAAUUAUAUGAUAAAUAAGCAUCGAUCCGAAGGUUAAAGCACACAUCAGCUGGAGGUCCGAUGUCAUGAAAUCCACAAGAUUAGAUUGAACAGUGAAACCUUUGUUGUCAUCGGCUAAAUCCAACUUAUAUGUAUACGCUAUCCUUAUAAGCCGAUGCAACGUCCAGAUAACUCACCGGCUGAAACCCCGAUGAAACCCUUAUUGGCAAUCAAGAAGCAGGCUAGGGAUUAUGGUUCUAAGCACGACUUAGUAGAUCAAACUCAACUGAUGCAGCACUAAGUAUGAAAAGAAACAUAAUAUCUAGACAAUCAAGCCGUUGACUGAGUUUUCAGGGUGGUAGAUAUCUAAGCUAAUCUAACCUAGCAACACGAUUUAGCCGAUACCGGCAGAAACCCUAAAACGAGAAGCAGCCGAUAGAGCUAAAUUGAUAUGCUAAGACUAGAUUAACAUAAACAUAUGAUAAAUAGGUAGGCAAAUAUAUCAUCCAAACCAGAGCAAUCCAAGAGGUCGAAUGCACUGAUGCAGCCUUGAACGACACCGACGUAAACGAUACAAUUGCCUGGGCCGACGGAACAUUGGACUUACCCCUUCGCCGGAGAUCGAACACCGAUGCAGCCCUACGUCAGGUGCCAAGUCCCGUCGGACGAUAAAAUAAAGUAGAAAAGGUAAAAGGUGGCGAUGCGCCGAAUUGUAUUGAUCGUGAAGAUAGAUUACAUAGACCCUGGGUGUACAUAUUUAUACCUAUGGGUUGAUACAAGUCCUUGUCGGACAAGAAAGAAACUUUCCUAAAGAUAAAAGGAAAAGAUAAAGUCCUUAUAGGACACUGUCGGUGACAUGGGAUCGGGAGUAUCAUGACUAGAGGUUUGAGGCAGAUACAAUCGCCCACGUGGCCUGGCACCCUCGGGGGACGUCGGGCCCGAGGGUGAUGUGUUCGCCCUCCUCUUAGUCCCCCCGAGGGGGUCGGGCUGCACCCCCCUCGGCCCCGAGGGCCGAGGCGCCCCGACCCCUCGUGGGUUUUCGCUCCGCGUGUAUGGGGUAGGUGAGCACAGUGGGGCUCACCUAACCACAUUUAUUGCGGUUUGGCUGAGCGUGUCACGACGCAUGUAACGUAGUGCAUUGCACUCAUUUAUCCGGUCUGUGACCAGUCACAGACCGGUCAGAUCGCGGGUUAGGUGGCGACAGGCGGUCUGACGCACGCCUCGCCCCAUCCCGUCAGGACGAGGGCUUCUAGGCGCUCGUCCCCAGCUGGAGCUAGCGUGUUACCUCCCAGAGAUGGCACGUUAGUCCUGACCAGAUAUAUGCCAGGCUUCAUCCUAACCAUUACAAGCAAAAUGUUGUCUGAAGAAGGGCGAACAUUUUGAUUGCUAAGCUGACACGUGGUGGACAAGAAUGACCGACGUGACUGGUCUGACUCCGGUCAUGUCGUCAGCAGGCGGCCACAAUUCCACGACGCGUCUGCUCCCGGCGAAAGUGGAGGUAGUUGUGGGCCGUCCCAUCAGAAGGUGACUCGGACGGCAACCAUGCAAAUCUCCGUCCAUUUAUGAAAAGGUAGGGUAAGUCCCCAAUGAGAAGGGGGGAUGGUGCAUGUGGUAUCCCCUUAAGAUAUAAAAGGAGGACCUUGCCCACUGAGAGAGGAAGAGAGCUUUUUCUUGGACUGGACCUUUCCAGAUUAGGAACCCAGAACAAGGGAGAGGCUGGCUGAUACUUUGUAGCUCUUUCAUACACAGAUCUCCCAAAACACAGGAGUAGGGUAUUACGCUUCUCAGCGGCCCGAACCUGUAUACAUCGCCGGUGUCUUCUGUGCUUCCUGUCUCGCGAACCUUCCACAUACAGAUUGAGAGCUUAGAAUCUCACCCAGGGUCCCCGGCCGAACCGGCAAAGGAGGGCCAGCGCGGUCUCCCGGUGAGGAGCCCCACGCUCCGUCAUCUGGCGCGCCAGGUAGGGGACUCUGCGAGUGAUCUUCUGAGCUCUUGCACUCUUUCGUGUGCACCAAGCUUUUCCUGUUUAGCCUUAUGGCUGAGCAAGCAAAGGCGCACGACCUCUCUCCGAGUGUGAGUGGCGACGACGGGGAGCCGAACCCACGCCGUCGAGCUCGUACUCCACCGCCCCCUCCACGCCAAAGUCCUAAGCAGGGGGAGGCGCUCGAGAGGGCCGAAGGAUCCGCGACUUCGACAUCCACAGGAGGUGGAAAGGGGCGGCGAGAUGGGGACCGUCGCCUCCUCGUCUACGGCGACGGCAGCACGCCCCAGGGCGCGCUCCAAGCUGCGGGUGCGCUCCUGUGUCACCCGCCUGUCGCCCAUGACCCGGAGUCUCCAGCCCAACGUUGGCUGGACGAUGUGGCCAAAUUGGUCAUGACUGCACGGCAGCGCCUAGAUACUGGUGGGCGGUCCUCCGCCACCAAGGCCUCUGGUGCUGCUACCACCGGCUCCGCGUCGUCAAGACGGAGGGCACGACGAGCGGCAGCCGCUGUUCGCCAUUCGGCCGCCACUCCUUCGUCGACUCCUUCGACCCGGGAAGAUCUGCGUGGGGGGCCGGACGCCCGCGCCAGCAUCGAGCGCCGGCGUAAUGACCGACGUGCUGCCCACGCAACGGAGGGCGCUUCCUCGUCUAGAGUGUCACCUCAACACGGACGCGGGGACCAGCCCUCCGUGCCCCCGGUUGGUGGUGUCGGCUGUAGAGCCUUUGUGGCGAGUCUUCGGAAUGUCCGUUGGCCCCCAAGGUUCCGGCCCACCAUCGCCGAAAAAUAUGAUGGCAGCGUCAACCCCGCCGAGUUUCUCCAGGUCUACACGACCGGGAUUGAGGCCGCCGGGGGUGACGACAGGGUCAUGGCGAAUUUCUUUCCCAUGGCCCUGAAGGGGCAGGCGCGGGGUUGGCUAAUGAACUUGCCACCCGCGUCAGUCCACUCCUGGGAGGAUUUGUGCCAACAGUUCACCAUGAACUUUCAGGGCUCAUAUCCGCGCCCAGGUGAAGAAGCGGACUUACACGCAGUACAGCGAAGGGAUGAUGAGUCACUUCGCUCGUACAUUCAGCGGUUCUGUCAAGUCCGCAACACCAUACCAUGCAUCCCUGCACACGCGGUAAUCUACGCGUUCAGGGGGGGCGUGCGGCACAACCGCAUGCUCGAAAAGAUCGCCUCCAAGGAGCCCCAGACUACCGCGGAGUUUUUUCAGCUCGCGGACCGAGUGGCUCGCAAGGAGGAGGCCUGGACUUGGAACCCUUCCGGUUCCGGUGUGGCAGCUUCGGCCGCCCCCGGAUCCGCCGCUCAGACAGGGCGGCGUGACAGGAGGAGGAAGAAGAGGUCAGUCCAUUCAGACGACGAGGGUCAUGUCCUCGCCGUCGAGGGCGCUCCGCGGGCCACCCGAAAGGGGAGGCCUGCGGGAGACAAAAAGAAGGAGGCCGGCGCUCCCAGCAGGGAGCGCCCAACCGGCAAGUGGUGCACCGUCCACAACACUUCCCUUCACGACCUCGCGGACUGCCGUGCAGUCAAAAGUUUGGCUGAGCGGACGAGGAAGUGGGAGGAGGAGAGGAGGCAGGAGCGCCGAGAGGGCAAGUCCCCGGCGGUUCCUUCCGGCAAUCGGCGAAGUGAGGCCAAGCAGAAGGCCCCCGCUGAGGACAUCGAUGACGGCGAUGAUGACCUAGGUUUCCAAGAGCCUGGGGCCACCAUUGCCACUGUCGAUGGGGGAGCGUGUGCUCACGUUUCUCGCCGGAGCCUCAAGGCCAUGAAGCGAGAGCUUCUGGCCGCGGCCCCGACUCAUGAGGCGACGCGCCGGGCGCGGUGGUCGGAGGUUGCCCUCACCUUCGACCAGACCGACCACCCACCGUGCGUUGCCCGGGGAGGACAGAUCGCAAUGGUGGUUUCCCCCACUGUUUGCAACGUGAAGCUGGGGCGUGUCCUCAUUGAUGGAGGAGCAGCCCUCAACAUCCUUUCCCCCGCAGCCUUUGACGCCAUCAAGGCCCCGGGGAUGAUGCUCCGGCCGUCCCAGCCGAUCAUUGGAGUGACGCCGGGGCACACUUGGCCGCUAGGUCAUAUCGACCUCCCGGUCACCUUCGGUGGACCCGCCAAUUUCCGCACGGAGCGGGUGAACUUCGAUGUGGCGGACCUCAGUCUGCCCUACAACGCGGUCCUGGAGAGGCCCGCGUUGGUGAAGUUCAUGGCGGCGGUCCACUACGCCUACCUCCAGAUGAAGAUGCCGGGCCCCGAUGGCCCCAUCUCUGUCCAUGGCGACCUCAAAGUCGCGCUCGCUUGUAUGGAGCAGCGCGCGGACCGCCUCGCCGUCGUGUCCAAGCCCGAGGGUGGCGACGAGAGGCUUGGCACAUCCGCCCCCGCCGCCCCGAGGCAGCGGAUAGUCACGUGCGAUGAGGUCCCGGUCAAGGAGGUUGCCCUGGGCGACGGCCCGUCCAAGACCACACGGAUUGGUGGUCUUCUGGACGGCAAAUAGGAAGGCGCGCUCGUCUCUUUCCUGCGGGCAAACGCUGACGUCUUCACAUGGAGACCGGCGGAUAUGCCCGGGGUCCCCAGGGAGGUGAUUGAGCACCGUCUCGCCGUACGGCCGGGCGCAAGGCCGGUCCGGCAGAAAGUGCGGCGCCAGGCCCCGGAACGUCAAGCCUUCAUCCGCGAGGAGGUGGCGCGACUUCUGGAGGCCGGAUUCAUCCGCGAGGUCAUCCAUCCGGAGUGGCUGGCGAACCCGGUGGUCGUUCCCAAGGCGAACGGCAAGCUUCGGAUGUGCAUCGACUACACCGACCUUAACAAGGCAUGUCCUAAGGAUCCUUACCCCCUGCCUCGCAUAGAUCAGAUUGUCGACUCCACAGCGGGGUGCGACCUUUUGUGUUUUCUAGAUGCAUACUCUGGUUACCAUCAGAUUCGCAUGGCUAGGGAGGAUGAGGAAAAAACUGCGUUCAUUACCCCCAUAGGAACUUAUUGUUAUACGACGAUGCCCUUCGGGUUAAAGAAUUCAGGUCCUACUUUUCAACGUACUACUCGAAUUUCUUUGGGUAGCCAAUUAGGACGUAAUGUUGAGGCUUAUGUCGAUGACUUGGUUGUAAAGACGCGCAACCAGGAAACGUUACUUUCAGAUCUAGCGGAAACUUUUGAGAGCCUCCGCUCCGCCCGCAUAAAACUGAACCCAGAUAAGUGCGUGUUCGGUGUACCUGCGGGCAAGCUUCUCGGGUUCUUGGUCUCUGCCCGAGGCAUCGAGGCCAACCCCGAGAAGAUACGAGCUAUAGAGCGGAUGCGCCCCCCCAGCAAGCUUAGGGAUGUGCAAUGCGUCACCGGUUGUAUGGCCGCCCUAAGUCGGUUCAUAUCGAGGCUGGGAGAGAAGGCGCUACCCUUAUUUAAGCUCCUCAAACGCUCCGGGCCGUUUACUUGGACGGAGGAAGCUGAACGUGCCCUCACUCAGUUGAAGGCGUAUCUCAGCUCUCCCCCCAGUUCUGGUCGCCCCGGAGCCAAAUGAACCCUUGCUACUCUACUUAGCGGCGACCCCGCAAGUGGUUAGUGCGGCGUUGGUCGUGGAGCGCGAUGAGGACAAUCCUCAUUCCGCGCACCCCCACCUUGUGCAGACUUGGCCCGGGAGAGAGCAGGGAGAAGAGGCCCCCGAGCCGGACGGUGGCCUAAGGCCCCCGACGACCGGAGCAGGCCCUCUCCCCGCUUGUCAGACGGUGUCAGGUGCCCCCGACUCCCAGGACAGCCCCGAGGCCACUGCGGGAAGGCCGCACCUAUCGCCCUCUGACCCCGAGGCUAACCCUGUGCCGAUUCGACCCAGGAGAGAGCAGGGAGAAGAGGCCCCCGAGCCGAACGGAAUGCCGCUGAGAAGCGUAAUACCCUACUCCUGUGUUUUGGGAGAUCUGUGUAUGAAAGAGCUACAAAGUAUCAGCCAGCCUCUCCCUUGUUCUGGGUUCCUAAUCUGGAAAGGUCCAGUCCAAGAAAAAGCUCUCCCCCUCUCUCAGUGGGCAAGGUCCUCCUUUUAUAUCUUAAGGGGAUACCACAUGCACCAUCCCCCCUUCUCACUGGGGACUUACCCUACCUUUUCAUAAAUGGACGGAGAUUUGCAUGGUUGCCGUCCGAGUCACCUUCUGAUGGGACGGCCCACAACUACCUCCACUUUCGCCAGGAGCAGACGCGUCGUGGAAUUGUGGCCGCCUGCUGACGACAUGACCGGAGUCAGACCAGUCACGUCGGUCAUUCUGGGCGCCGGUGCAGGGGUCACGUUGACCUCUCCGAGUGGAGACGUCCUCAGAUACUUGGUUCGCCUCGACUUUCGAGCGACCAAUAAUAUGGCAGAGUACGAGGGACUCCUUGCCGGACUCAGAGUGGCAGCUGGACUGGGGAUCCGCCGCCUCCUGGUGUUAGGCGACUCCCAGCUGGUCGUUAACCAAGUCGGUAAGGAGUACCGGUGCUCUGACCCGCAAAUGGACGCCUACGUGCGCCAAGUACGGCGUAUGGAGCGCCAUUUUGACGGGAUUGAGCUUCGGCACGUGCCCAGACGGGAUAACGUCAUGGCCGACGAACUCUCACGGCUCGCAUCCUCGCGAGCCCAGACCCCACCGGGCGCCUUUGAAGAAAGGCUUACCCAGCCGUCGGCGCGACCCGACCCCUUAGGGGAGACGGAUGCGCCUGACCGGCCCCCGAGGCCCGUCGGAGUCCAGGCCUCGGGACCCGAGGGGAGUGCUCCCAGCUCCCUUAGAUUGAUUGCUUGGAUCGCCGAGAUCCAAGCAUACCUCAGAAAUAAGACUCUACCCGAGGACCGCGAGGGGAGUGAACGCGUCCAUCGCAUCUCCAAACGCUACGUGCUGGUAGAAGGGACCCUCUAUCGGCGCGCGGCUAAUGGAAUCCUCCUGAAGUGCAUUCCUCGGGAACAAGGCGUUGUGCUUCUUGCCGAUAUCCAUGAAGGCGAAUGCGGGGCCCACUCCGCCUCGCGCACCUUGGUUGGUAAAGCUUUUCGCCAAGGUUUCUAUUGGCCGACAGCUCUCAAUGAUGCGGUCGACCUGGUCCGCCGAUGUAGAGCGUGUCAAUUCCACGCCAAGCAAAUCCAUCAGCCGGCCCAGGCCCUGCAGACCAUACCACUUUCGUGGCCAUUUGCUGUCUGGGGACUCGAUAUCCUGGGACCGUUUAGGCGGGCCCCGGGCGGGUUUGAGUAUCUGUAUGUCGCGAUCGAUAAGUUCACUAAGUGGCCCGAGGCUUAUCCGGUCGUCAAGAUCGAUAAGCACUCCGCACUUAAAUUCAUUAAGGGCAUCACGGCCCGGUUUGGAGUGCCUAACCGUAUUAUUACGGAUAAUGGCACCCAAUUCACUAGUGAACUCUUCGGCGACUACUGCGAAGACAUGGGCAUCAAGCUCUGCUUCGCCUCACCUGCCCACCCCAGAAGCAAUGGCCAAGUGGAGCGCGCCAAUGCGGAAAUCCUCAAAGGUCUUAAAACCAAGACCUUUAACAUACUCAAGAAGCACGGCGAUUCAUGGAUCGAGGAGUUGCCAGCGGUGCUCUGGGCAAACCGAACUACACCAAGCCGAGCAACCGGGGAAACACCUUUCUUCCUCGUCUACGGCGCGGAAGUGGUUCUCCCAUCUGAGCUCACCCUGAAGUCUCCUCGGGCCACCAUGUACUGCGAGGCUGAUCAAGAUCAGCUUCGCAGAGAUGACCUCGACUACUUGGAAGAGCGAAGGCGGCGCGCGGCCCUCCGAGCCGCGCGCUACCAGCAGAGCCUGCGGCGCUACCAUCAGUGUCACGUCCGGGCCCGAUCACUCUGCGUCGACGACCUCGUCCUACGCCGCGUCCAAACGCGUGCUGGAUUGAGCAAGCUCUCACCAAUGUGGGAGGGUCCGUAUCGAGUGGUCGGCGUCCCCCGGCCGGGCUCCAUACGGCUGGCCACGGGCGACGGCACUGAGCUGCCUAACCCGUGGAACAUCGAACACCUUCGUCGCUUCUACCCCUGAGGGGGGGUCGGGUGUCAGGUUUCGGGCUCGGGCCAACCCCGCACCCCCUCGGGCGAGCAGGGUUGGCCGGGGGCUGCCACACAUGCACUUUCUUAUUUCUCUUAUUUCAGAAUUUCAAUAAAAGCAGUUUCAAUUUCCUAAAGGUUGUAUCUGUGCUGUUUUUUCCUUUUGAAGAAUCUUGACUUGAAAUAGGUCACUCGCGCUCAAUCCUGCCCUCGGGGGCUCGGGUCGGCUAAAAUCGCCAAACGGGGCCCAGAACCGAGCCGUGCCCCGGGGCGUGGUGAACUCCGGGGGGGAAUCGGCAAAAACCCACAAUCGGGUCACCCAUAACCCUCGGUCACCACGUUCCCGGCCUGGCCAGUCUCGACAUGUGGAUCUCCCCAGGCACUAGCCCCGACCCGCGCCUUUUGAGGACCAGAACCUGGGCACGAGCCCUUAUUCAAGCUAAGACACAAAAGGACCACGGCACAGAUCAUCCUCAUCUCAUACUUACAGCAAGAUGAAAUUAACACAAAAAUUUCUUCAUUUUUGAUUACAGAUUAAGUUGAUCUAUACAAAGCCCGAAGGCCUUAGAAGAAAGAAAAGAAGAAAAAACAGAAGGAUGGCGGGGGUCUGGGGGCUCAAUCCGAUGCGCCCGGAUAGCCGGCCUCGACGUCAUUGUCGUCUGCACCUCCGGCAUUGCCCUCCUCGUCGGAGUUGGGGGCAAACGCAAGCCGAGGGGCCGAGCCCUCGAAGCUGUCGACGAUAUAGUCGGCGGCAUCCCGGACUUGCGCGCGCGCGCGGUCCUCGGUCCCAGGAGGGAACUCAUCCAGCGCCAUCCAUGGAGAGAAAUUGGGGUCCCUGGCCUGGUAACUCGCCAGGACGAGCUCCACCGCUCCUUGGGCGAGGUCCCUCGAGGAUGACUUAAUUGUCUUCUCGAGCUCCUCGGGGAGCCGUUGGAGAGCCCCGGCCAUCUUCGAGAGGUGCUGGGCGAGGCCUCCCUGGUUGUCGGCGUACUUUACGGUCCGCCCUCUCCAGAGGCCCACUUGCCGACCGGCGCGAUCUAGGCGGGAGACGGCGUCCCAAAGCAUGCCGGGCCCGACCUCGCCUGCCAAGCGGAGGGCUUCGACCUCCCCGGCGGACGAGUCCAGCGCGCCCUGCAGAUCGGCGAUGGUGUGUUCGGCAUCUGCGAGGCGGGCGGCUAAGUCGCUUUCGCCCGCGGCCGCCCCGCCGCUGCGCGCCCUCGCGUCCAGCUCCUUCGCCCGCGCCUCGAGCUCAGCGGCCCGUUGGUUCAGUGCGGCCCUCUCGGCGCGGGCACCUUCCAGAUUGCGGCGCGCCUGCUCCUCCUGCGCUGCCUCGCGGAGGGACAGGCUGUCCGCCAGCUGUUGCGCCGCGGCCUCGGCCCCCUCGAGAGCUCGCUCCCGCUCGGUGAGCGCGUCCUCGCGGAGGCGGAGCGCGAUCUCUUCUUCGGCGCAGGCAGCCUCGUGCGCCGCCAGCGUUGCUUCCCGGAUGGUGACAGCGGCCUCGCGGUCCGCCAGAUCCCUCUCCACGACGCAGGCGUGCUCUUCCAGCGCCAUGGCGCGCGCCUCAAGGGCCUCUUCGCGCCGCCAUGACGCCGCUUCGGUCUCUGCCGCCCGCUGUUCUCGGGCAGCGGCAGCGUCAAGCACCCCCUGGGCGGCGUCGAGCUUCUUCCCUAGCUCCACUUCCCAGCUCCCGUAUUGAAGGCGGAGGGUGUCCUGCGCCUCGUUCAUCACGGUGGUGGCAAUGAGGGCAGCCCCCCGCUCCUCCUCCACUUCCUUGGCGAUCUCCGCCAGCACCUUCUUACGGGUUUCAAGCUCCGAGACAUGCCGGCGGUGAGCCUUACGGCCCACCUCCACCAUGGCCUCCACCGAGCGUCGCCCCUCUUCGACACGCGCCCACGCGGCGUCGAGCUCCGCCCGCUCUGCCUGCAGGGCCUCCACCUAGGCACUUAACCCAUCCAACAUCGUGGUGUUUGCGGCGGUCAAAGCCUGCAGAAGGGGCUCUGUGUUCAGUGGGGCGAUAGAAGGCGUGGGGAAGAGCCGCCUUGGAAAGGAUGCCACGCGGCUCGGGCCGCCGAUGGAAGUGCCGGACUCGGGGAUGUCUCCCGGACCCGUUUGGUCCUGAGCGUCGCCCGAGGGAGUGGGCCCAAGCGACGCGCCCGCAGCCUCGUCGCCAGCUGCCCCGGAAGUUGUCGCCUGAGCGUCGCCCGAGGGAGUGGGCCCAAGCGACACGCCCGCAGCCUCGUCGCCAGCUGCCCCGGAAGUUGUCGCCUGAGCGUCGCCCGAGGGAGUGGGCCCGAGCGACGCGCCCGCGGCCUCGUCGCGAGCUGCCUCGGAAGUCGCCAUCGCCUCGUCCUGGCGAAAUCCGGCUUCCUCCCGAGCGGCUUCCUUGGCCUUGUGGGCUCGGACAGCCUCCUCCCGAGCGGCUUCCUCGGCCUGGUGGGCUCGGGCGGCCUCCUCCCGAGCAGCUUCCUCGGCCUGGCGGGCCCGGGCGGCUCCCUCCCAAGCAGUUUCCUCGGCCUGGCGAGCCCGGGCGGCCUCCUGGGCGGCCUCCUCGGCUUCCCGUAGGCGAUCUGCGGCCUCUCGCCGGUCAGAUUCCCGCCUCCGGGCCUCUGCGGCCGCCGGAUCCUCGGCCUCAGACUGGCCGGACUUGGAAUGGCGGGAGGGACGCGACGGGAUCUCGCUAAAACAAAAGAAAAGACCAGAAGACGAACAAGAUGGGUGAGUAAAAACUCGCGUUGAGAGAAUGAAUACAGCCACGAUGGGUGAGAGACGAACCUGCGAGGGGGUCGGUUAAACGACCACUUUGGAGGGGAAAUGAGGUUUCCCCGAGAUGGUUCCGUCUCCCCCAUCUUGCGGGGCCGCUUCUUCAUGCGCUCCCCCUCGGGCUGCGAUGUUGGCGCGGCCCCCUCCGGGCGCCUGCUGCUGGCACGCGCCGCCCCGCCCCCUCGGGGAGGAGAUGGGGGAGGUGUUCCUCCCUGCUUCCUCUUCCCCCGGGUGUUGGCAGGGCGGCUGCUCCCCGGACCCCUGUCGCGGGACCCAGAAGCACGACCCCCUCUCGGGGUAGAUUGUUCCCCCCGGCGGCUCCCGCCUGCGCCGUCGUGGCCCUUUGGAGCUCGCUCCUCUGAGGCCCCGACCGCCAUCAUAAUGGUCAGGAUGGAGGCGCGGUCUGGAUCGCUGCAGAGGGGGAGGAUUCCUUGGGGAAUGAGGGCCGCCUCCACGGAGUUGAGAUUCAGCACCCGUUGGACCAAUAUCUUGAAGUCCUCAGGAGCCCAGUCCCAUCACACUCCCUGGUGGGUCCUCAUGAAGUCUUCGGACCCGGUGUACUCCCAGGCGCCCCGAGCGCGCCGCUGGAGCGGCGCAAUCCGACGACGGAGGUAGUCGCCAUACACCAUGGCCCCUGUGAGCCCCUGGGAUCGCAGGCCCGCCAGGCGGUCGAGGACGGCGUCAUAGCCAUCCCCCAGAUCUACCGGCGCCCGCCAGCUGGAGGCCUGCACCGGGGGCUGGCUCGGAAGUAGGAGGCGCGCUUCGUCGGCGAGGGGAGUGUAGAACCAGUCGCUCUUCCAGUCGUCCCACUUCUUGCGGAGGGCGCAGGGGAUGUAGCGGUUCAGCACCGGCCCCCGUGGCUGGAAGUAGCAGCCACCAACUACCGAUGGCGGCGACACCGACUGCACAGUGAAGAACCACCGGAACAGCCGAAGAGAUGGGCGCACCCCAAUAAACAUCUCGCACAGAUGCGCGAAGAUGGCCAAUGUCAUCACCGCGUUGGGGGUGAGGUGCGCCAUCUGGAGAUCGUAGAACUCCAGAACAUCCAUGAAGAAAGAAGAAAAUGGCGGAACUAGCCCUGCCAUUGCAAAGGGGAGAAAGAAGACGGACCGCCCCGGGUAGUCUGGCGCCGGGCGUCCCUCGCCCAGCGUAACUAUCUCCCGGCCGGUGGCAGAUUCCGGCAUGAAGCGGCGCGGCAGCCCAGCCUGCCUCUCGCUCACGAUGCGGGAAGGCGGCAGCACGCUACCAUCGAGCAGAGCGGAGCCCCGUGCCAUGACGCCGGAGGAAGAGAAGAUUAAGAGCGAGCGCGUGUGGCGAGGGUAGGGCGCAGGAAAGAAGGAGUUAGGGCGCAAGCGGCGAAGACAAGGGGAAUAAUGGCGAAAGGAAGGAAACAAAUCCCUUCCUCAGUGCCUUUAUACCCUUGCCAACGCUGUGCCCGGCUCCUCGCUUCUCGCGCCCACUAUUUCGCCCCCUCGUUUCUCGCGCCCACGCUUCCACUAAUCCCAUUCGCCCGCUUGCGGCGCAUGAGGUGGAUAUGCGGUUGUGGCAGUCGAGGUAGAUCAUAUCGUGCGCGCGUUAAUUACGCUCGCCAACCGAAGCGACGUUACCAUAUCUCCAGAUGAAACGAAUCGCCAUGUCCAGAUUCGUGUGCUACUCGAGUAAUGUGGCAGUCUUGAAGAGACCGCUCAUUAUUGACAGCCGAGUUACCAUUGCCGAUGUGCGUGAUUUUUGACCGUUGGGUUUCUGCCCAAUUGUGGAGACCGGUCCCACCUGUCACCGGGCCUUAGGAGUGGCGUCACGCCCGACCGCUUCCCUUAAGGAGGGCGAACGCCCUGGCAUAACGCCGAGGGCUACUGUCGGUGACAUGGGAUCGGGAGUAUCAUGACUAGAGGUUUGAGGCAGACAUAAUCGCCAACGUGGCCUGGCACCCUCGGGGGACGUUGGGCCCGAGGGUGAUGUGUUCGCCCUCCUCUUAGUCCCCCCGAGGGGGUCGGGCUGCACCCCCCUCGGCCCCGAGGGCCGAGGCGCCCCGACCCCUCGUGGGUUUUCGCUCCGCGUGUAUGGGGUAGGUGAGCACAGUGGGGCUCACCUAACCACAUUUAUUGCGGUUUGGCUGAGCGUGUCACGACGCAUGUAACGUAGUGCAUUGCACUCAUUUAUCCGGUCUGUGACCAGUCACAGACCGGUCAGAUCGCGGGUUAGGUGGCGACAGGCGGUCUGACGCACGCCUCGCCCCAUCCCGUCAGGACGAGGGCUUCUAGGCGCUCGUCCCCAGCUGGAGCUAGCGUGUUACCUCCCAGAGAUGGCACGUUAGUCCUGACCAGAUAUAUGCCAGGCUUCAUCCUAACCAUUACAAGCAAAAUGUUGUCUGAAGAAGGGCGAACAUUUUGAUUGCUAAGCUGACACGUGGUGGACAAGAAUGACCGACGUGACUGGUCUGACUCCGGUCAUGUCGUCAGCAGGCGGCCACAAUUCCACGACGCGUCUGCUCCCGGCGAAAGUGGAGGUAGUUGUGGGCCGUCCCAUCAGAAGGUGACUCGGACGGCAACCAUGCAAAUCUCCGUCCAUUUAUGAAAAGGUAGGGUAAGUCCCCAGUGAGAAGGGGGGAUGGUGCAUGUGGUAUCCCCUUAAGAUAUAAAAGGAGGACCUUGCCCACUGAGAGAGGAAGAGAGCUUUUUCUUGGACUGGACCUUUCCAGAUUAGGAACCCAGAACAAGGGAGAGGCUGGCUGAUACUUUGUAGCUCUUUCAUACACAGAUCUCCCAAAACACAGGAGUAGGGUAUUACGCUUCUCAGCGGCCCGAACCUGUAUACAUCGCCGGUGUCUUCUGUGCUUCCUGUCUCGCGAACCUUCCACAUACAGAUUGAGAGCUUAGAAUCUCACCCAGGGUCCCCGGCCGAACCGGCAAAGGGGGGCCAGCGCGGUCUCCCGGUAAGGAGCCCCACGCUCCGUCAGACACUAAACACAAUUUCCUAAAGAUAAAAGGAAACUAACAAACUAUUCCUAAUUAAUAGAUAACUUGUCAUGCCGCAUUCUCUUUAAACUCGGUCUCUUCUGGAUAAGUUUUAUUUAGUAGAUCAAUUUCCUUAACCGAAUAUAGCAAGAAUCCGACAACUGAUGACUUGACAACUCUCAUCGGCUAAUCUCAGGACUUCGAAGCCGAUGCUGACUCUAAACCGAUGACUACUCCGGACUUACCAAAUUUCACUGUUAACAAGGCCAUAGUGAUAAACCAAUAAAUCUUUCAACCAACACCUUUUGUCAGCAUCCUUCAGUGUCUUGAUCUUGGCCUUGAGUUCUUCAGGUAAAUUAAGCAGGUAAAAUAUCUAUCUCCUCCCACUAGCACCUCUGCAUGAAUCUAGGGAUAUAAAAGGCUUAAGUUAGCGGCAAGUUCCAUUUUGCACACGCCAGCUUUGGUUUAGAAUAAAACAUUAAGCUGAGAGGCCUCAGAUUUUAUAAAUGCGAUAUCAUCUUCUAAAAAUUUGCAUUGAGGGCAUUGGCAUCACAGAUUACAAUAAUAAGACAAGAUGACUACUUCCUCCGUUUUACAAUGUAAGUCAUUCUAGUAUUUCCCAUAUUCAUAUAUAUAUAUAUAUAUAUAUAUAUAUAUAUAUAUAUAUUCAUUAACAUCAAUAUAAAUAUGGGAAAUGCUAGAAUGACUUACAUAUAAAUAUGGGAAAUGCUAGAAUGACUUACAUUGUGAAACGGAGGUAGUAACUCCGAAAAAAUGCAGUACAAUUGUACUGCAGGUGAAGUAGGCAUGACAUUUAUUGUGUACAUAUUCGAGUAGAGUAGUUUAUGAAACUCUGAUCCAUUUAAUUAGCAAUCAAUUGGUUCUCAAAUUUAAACGAUGGUGCUAAACAGGGAUAAAAUUCAGUGUUAGGCCUUCAAUUGAAUGGCAUGGGCUGGAAUAGUAGCAGACCCGAGAAAUUUUAGAGUUGGUCAGGCCUAACUACGGUGAGUUUGUUUUUUUAUGUGAAAACUUCAUCCUCAACACCUAUGGAAGCGUUUCUUUAAAAAAAAAAAACAAACACCUAUAGAAGCACAAAAUUCCAUUGUCGACGAUUGCUCAACAUCCAUCAAUUGGCUGGAAGACCAUCAAAAGUUCAACACCACUAUGAUUAGUUUAGAAGCCCAUAACUUGCUUACUUAUGCUCCAAAAGAGGUGGCAUGUACGUUUGUGGAUUGUUCAUCACAUCAUCACCGAAAAUAAUUUGAGACUUAUGCUCCAAACAACAAGAAAUGCGGAAGACAGCAAGCAGUUAGUCUGCAUCAAGCCAGGCUGCAACACAGUUCCUCCCAACUACCUAACAUUGGAAGCCACCGCGGCCUAGUUGAGCCGGACGAGCGGCAAAGGGGAGGGAGUGAGAAGGUCAAAGUGGACGAGGAAUCGACGACGUACCAUGGUAAUGGACGAGGCCCGUGACGGCGCUGGACAUGCCUAAAGUCGUCGCCGGAGGCCGAGCGUCCGGGUAGAUCGAAGACGGCAAGGCGGUGGAUCCUGCCGACGCUGCUGCAGCCGCGAUGAGCGGUCUCAAAGCCAAGCGGAGAUGGGGCGAGGGUUUUGGGAGUCCGGCUCCGGCAGCAGUAGCAUCGGAGGAGAACCGGGUCGUCUCCGUAGCCGACGGUGGUGAGUUGGGCCGGAUAGGUACAAAGGACGUUUGCAACGAAUUGGGCUGGAAUGAAAUCCCCACGUAUUAUGUACUCCACACUCUUUGAAUAAGUCUAUUUGAUCUCCCUCGUCCUCUUGAUCCUGAAUGAAUAUCUCCCUUGGCUACAGAACGGGAUAUAGCACGUCUCCUCCAUCUUUAAAAACUGAUACAAAUAAACUACUUCGGUGUUUUUGAAAAUGAUUUUUUUGUUGACGUGGCCAGUUAACCAUGGUUGUCUCGUUAACAAAUGAGAACCACGUGUCAGCGACUUCCUUCUUAUGUACGCGUAAGUGCAUAACUUAACCGAGUAGCGUGAAUACAAGCACCGGUACAACACAAAAACUAACUGGCGGAGACACGCCAACUCGCUUGCUGGCGCACACACCUGUGUGACCCGUGGGUCUGCGCCCUCGUGGGACUUUUUCUUUCACCUUUUUUUUAAAAAAAGAAAUGAAUCUUUCAUCUUUAAUUUCGGUUGAAAGUUUUAAAUUUGAGUUAAAUGUUUUGAAUUUUGAGAUGAAAGUUUGUAAACCUGAGUUGACUGUUUUCAAAUUUUCACUUGGAUUUUUUUUCAAAUCUGAGUUGAAAGCUUUUAAAUCUUAGUUAAAAAUUUUAAGUCUUUGAGUUAAAUAUUAAUGAUUUCACUUGAAAGUUUUUAAAUAUGAGUUGAAAGUUUUAAAUUUUUUAACUUAAAAAUUUUCAAAUCUUAACUUAAAAAUUUGUAAAUCUGAGUUAAAAGUUAAAAAAAAAAGAAAAGAGAAUGAAUAUAAGCCCCCGUCGGUUCAGCCGGUAUUGGGGGUGAAGUUGGGAUUAGAGCAGGUACAAUAGCAGACUAUUAGCUAGCUAUAAACAUAUUUUAAUGAUAUAAAAGAUGAAAGAGAAAAGCAGCGGGCUACAAAUCUGUAGGUAGCUGCAGCAUAGACUCCAAGAGACGGUGUGUGUAUGACAGAUGGGACCAUAUAUUAAUAGUAUAGUAAGCAACUAUUAUAUGAAUUGGCUAUUAAAUUGACUAUAGAUAAAUUGGAGCUUGUAGUGGGCUAUACUGUUAAACUUGCUCUUAGAGUUGCUCCCGAUCGGCUGGCGCUCGCCCACCGGGUGACGCAAGCAGGCAGCAGCCGACACGAGCCGUCAAAAAGGUUGGCGUUGCCAAGCUCACCUCCUCCCUUGGAGUCUCAAACAUGGGGCUUCCCGUAAACAGAUACCAGGUGGGUUCUGUUAACUCCGACCGUGCCGUGCCGUUCGGUUUCAAAAGCCGCGAGUCGUGCAGCCAACACGCGCCGGAUCUUAGUUUCAACGGCCGACUGAAUUCUUCGGUUGGUUUAGUCCACUUAAGUACUCCAGUUUUGAUACUUGAGCACGGCGGAUUCAGCUUAAGGGCCUGUUUGUCACAGCUCCAACUCUGGAGUGGAGUUGUGGAGCUGCCUAAACCCAGCUCCACAACUCUAUUACAUUUUGUGAGAGAGCUCCACCCAACUCCACUCCUAGUUUUGGUGGAGCUAAAACUGUUUGGCUGAGCUCCAGCUCCAGGAGGGGUGGAGUUGGAGCUGGAGCUGUGCCAAACAGGCCCUAAGUGUUCUAAGUAAACAAAGCAUCUUAAUAUAAAUAUGUUUGUUUUACGGUCUUAUAUGCUAUUUUCACGUUCCAUUAAUUAUGUCAUAAACUGUUGUUGAUUUGUGCCAGUUUUCUCCUAUUUCAGUUAGUAGUAUCGUAUUUUGCACUACGUCGGUAUUUUACUUACCUUUGGAAAUUGUAAUCGCGGAACUUGUAACCACAAUAUACCGAAUUUGCCAUUGUUCAUUGGUUUUCUCUCGUAUCUCUAAGACAAUCAUAAUUAGCAUGUGUAGCUCACGCUAAAAUUAAAAGUUUAGUUAAAAUUGAAACGAUGUGAUGGAAAAGUUGAAAGUUUGUGUGUAGGUAAGUUUUGAUGUGAUGAAAAAGUUGAAAGUUUAAAGAAAAAAAUUAGGAACUAAAUAAGACUUAGCGUAAAAAAUCGUCAAAUUCACUCGAACGUACUACUAUAGUACUAUUUCCGUCAAGGUUUCAAAAAGACAUUAGUCGAUCGUACCAGUCUGACUCGAAUCGUCGGUCGUUCCAGCAGCAGAUGCAAUUGUUUAGUACAAGUUGCAUCCUAGUACAGUAGAAGAUUCGCCAGGUUCAGCGAAAACCUCGCACGGUUUACGUGCCAGAGUUGGCUUCGUGAUCCUCUCGUCCAGAAAGGCAAUGGAAUAUACUCUACUGCUCGUACGCGCCCGUGAGAUGAGCCCACGCGCACGCCCAACCCAUCGGCAAUUCGGCCUUGUGCUGCCCAGUUUUUGCGCGCGCGCCGCUGAAUCCUCAAAAAUGGACGACAAGGCGACGGCAUUCCGUUUCGCGUGGUCGCAGUUGCGCCUCCCCCACCCCUCACCCGAUGACCACCCUACGCUAGCAAUCUUCCUCUUGUCGUCGUCCUCCUCGUGCUCCGUGGCAUGGCGGCGCAGGUGCUCGCAGCUCGCGUAUAAAUAGCGGCCAUGUCCAUACACGGCAGACUCACACAACCAACAUUCAGAGUUCGAGUGAAAGUUCUCUCACAAGUUCAGAGUAGCAUUUGGCUAGUGACAGUAACUGGUCAGUGUCUCUCACCAUGUCGUCCAAUUUUGAGGCCAACAACAACAAUGGCGAGAAGCAGCUGGUCUGUGUGACCGGAGCAGGUGGCUUCAUUGGGUCGUGGGUGGUGAAGGAGCUCCUCAUCCGUGGCUACCACGUCAGGGGAACAGCCAGAGAUCCUGGUAAGUUACUAACUAGUAGUUCACGGUGUUACCAUUAAUUUGCUGCAUUUUGUGCUUGAUUUAUUGAUCGGUUCUUGCACGCGCGUAUCUGUAGCUGACAGCAAGAAUGCUCACCUGCUUGAGCUGGAGGGAGCCGACCAGAGGCUCUCCCUCUGCCGUGCCGACGUCCUCGACGCCGCCAGCCUCCGCGCCGCCUUCAGCGGGUGCCACGGCGUCUUCCAUGUCGCCUCCCCGGUGUCCAACGACCCUGUAAGUUCACUAGCCUGGUUCUUGAGCCCAAAAGAGACGACAAUGGCGCCUUUAACCUCCUCCAACUUUUACUAACGCUGCUCCGUGCUGCAGGACCUGGUUCCGGUUGCAGUGGAGGGGACGAGGAACGUGAUCAACGCGGCGGCGGACAUGGGCGUGCGGCGCGUGGUGUUCACGUCGUCCUACGGCGCCGUGCACAUGAACCCCAGCAGGAGCCCCGACGCCGUCCUCGACGAGACCUGCUGGAGCGACUACGAAUUCUGCCGCCAAACCGACGUAAGCACAUUACUCUGCUGCGUUUCUACCAACUCCAACCGCGUUGCUUGCAUGAACAGUAAAUUGAUCAUCUCGGCAAAAUUUUCUCGUCGUACGUGCAGAACCUGUACUGCUGCGCCAAGAUGAUGGCAGAGAUGACGGCGACGGAGGAGGCGGCGAAGAGGGGGCUGGAGCUGGCGGUGGUGGUGCCGUCGAUGACGAUGGGUCCCAUGCUGCAGCAGACGCUCAACUUCAGCAGCAACCACGUCGCCCGCUACCUCAUGGGCACCAAGAAGUCGUACCCCAACGCCGUCGCCGCCUACGUCGACGUCCGCGACGUCGCCCGCGCGCACGUCCUCGUCUACGAGCGCCCCGACGCACGCGGCCGCUACCUCUGCAUCGGCACCGUGCUCCACCGCGCCGAGCUCCUCCGGAUGCUCAGGGACCUCUUCCCCCAGUACCCUGCCACUGCAAAGUACGCAACUAUUAGACAUUGAUUUGCUUGUGUGCGUUGCUGAAAUAGUCUUCUGAGAUGUAAUCGAUCGAUCUCAAAUUUUUCAUGCGUGUGUUUCUUGGAUUUUUCAGGUGUGAAGAUGACGGGAAGCCGAUGGCGAAGCCGUACAAGUUCUCGAACCAGAGGCUCAAGGAUUUGGGGUUGGAAUUCACUCCACUGAGGAAGAGUUUGCAUGAGGCGGUCUUAUGCAUGCAGCAGAAGAGUCACCUGCCUCUGAUUUAUCCCGUUCCAAAACGUGCUUACCUAUAAUCGAGAUACAAAUACUCGGAUUUGUCUGUUGUGAUGGGAAACAGAGAGCAACAGGGAGAAAAAAAAAACAAGAAAAUACAAGGGCUCUGAGAAUUCAGUAUGAAAUUGUUUAUUUGAGUAAGUGUAGUAGGCAUUUGUAUUUUGUUGUUACACAUGUAAAACCCUUCUGUAAUGAACAAUAAGGUCCCAUGGAGGGAAUUGUAAAUGCAAAUAUGGAUUCCAUUUAUAUUCUGGGUUUCAGGAUGUAAAUUUGAAUGGCACUGUAUUUAUUCCUAUUUUGCGAGGCAAUUUCCUAGUAUACAGUGCAGUACCGAACCUAAAUGUCUCUCCCUGCAGAUCGCAUGGAGUUGAAGUGUUAAAUGUGUGUGCAGAUCACGUCGAGUUUACAGUGUUUCGGCAGAAAUUGGAGAGUUAUCUGAACUCCAGAGCACUAAAGUCUGACGACACUUUUCAUAGUUUGGACAGGUAUCUGAACUCUGACGAUGUCAUCGAUGGUAUCUGAACCGUAGAGCGAGCGCUGACAUUCUGAUCAAUCAUGAGAGUUGGAUAGUAUCCGAAUUCUGACACUCUUGCAGAGUUUUUGUUCACAGAUCAACAGGUCCGUGACCAAUUUCAUAAUAGCGAAUUUACGACGAGAGCUAUCCGAACUCUUGCAGAGUUUGUGUUCAUGGACCACCAAUUUCAUAGCAAAUUAGCGACACCGAACAUUCAUGGAUCACCAAUUUCAUACUCCCUCCGUCCCAAAAUUAGUGCAGUUUUGCACUAUUCAUGUUCAACAUUUGACCGUUCGUCUUAUUUGAAAAUUUUUUAUGAUUAGUAUUUUUAUUACUAUUAGAUGAUAAAACAUAAAUAAUGCUUUAUGUGUGAUUAUAUAUUUUUAAUUUUUUUCAUAAAUUUUUCAAAUAAGACGAACGGUCAAACGUUGAGUACGGAUAUCCACGGCUGCACUUAUUUUGAGACGGAGGUAGUAGCAAAUUAGCGACACCGAACAUCAGUGACAACUCUUCCUGCAGGAAGAUGUGAAUGUAAAAGGCGCAGAGGAUCAUAAUUCAGAGCCUAGCCAAGAAGAAAUCAAACUUUAAACACAUCAACAUCAAAUUGGAUAUCAUCUAUAUACAAGAACACUAAGGGUGAGUUUGAGAUAUAGAGGAUUGAGAAGAUAUGUAAAACGAGAUGAGCCAUUAGCGCAUGAUUAAUUGAGUAUAAACUAUUUUAAAUUUUAAAAAUGGAUUAAUAUGAUUUUUUAAAGCAACUUUCCUAUAGAAAAUUUUUAAAAAAACGCAUAGUAGUUUGGAAAACGUGCGCGCGGAAAACGAGGUAUUUUCUCACCCUAUCUCACACAAACGAACACAUCAGGCAUCGAUACUCCGUCUAGCUAUCAGCGCAACUGCAUACUUAAAAAUUAAUCGUUGGUUUGGUUGGGGUGCGCCAGGCCCGGGCAGCAGUGCAACACCUGGGCGACGCGUGAGGGCCCCAGCGGCAAGCCACUGUAGUGGACCCUCCCCCACAAAAAAUAAAUUUAAUAUCGAAGUGGGCACAUAGCCCAUAUAUCAGAUAUUAAACUGAUAAGAACAGAUACUACACUUGAUCUUAGCCAAAAGGCCGAGAAAGGUAUGAGUUGCUCCGUGCAACCCUGCCUGCUUAUAUACAGAGCGCCUUGCGCGCCUCAGCUCUGCGUCUCCGAGGUGGUACUAAAAGCUCAAACUCAAAUAUGGGCCUCAGCUCUCUUCUUGAGACGAACACUGGGCCCUGGGUACUAAAAAGGCCCAUCACUGGGUCGCUCUGAUCCGUCACACCCACGAUCGGUGCAAGCCCAGAUAUGGGCCUGAUUUGCUUCUCUGUUGUUAGUGAAAAAGGCCCAAUAUUAGUCCCAAAAGGUUGUGCUUCCAAACUGAGCUCAAUUGAACGGUGAAUCUAUGGAAGUAUAUAUAGACGUUCAUUUCCAUGGACUUUGUUGUCAGAAAGUUACUAGUAAAUAUAUCUGUGGAGAUUAUGGGUACCCCAUACCCACACGGCAUGGUUAUCCGACUAGUAAUAGGGGAUAACAUAUAUCUAUGGAAUAUGUAACCGAUCAUGACUUGGGUAUUACGUUUCCUUUUAUAUUAUGGAGCGGCCUAAAGUCCUGAUUCGAUAAUAUUGUAAAAUAGAUUUAGGAAACCGAUACCGUAUUGGUUAAGGUUUCUAUCUUGUAAUCCUGCCCCCCAUCCUAUAUAAGGUGGGCAGGAGGCCCUCUAGGGGGCAUGAGACAACCUGAUCGUCAGAUCAAUACACACUCGGCGGAUUCAAAUCCCCAAACAGGAGUAGGGUAUUACCUCUCAUUGAGAGGGCCUGAACCUGUCUAAAUCCUUUGUCUCUGCAUCCAUCCACUUUAGGUCUCGUCCGCUACCCCCUUUUAUUAUUGCCGAAUUCAUGUUUCGACAGUUGGCGCGCCAGGUAGGGGAUGCGUCGAAUUACCCGUCGAAAAGUGAGAUGGAAUCCACUUCAGAAGAAACGGCGAGAUCAAUCUCACCGAAUUCGAUGGCUCGAACUUUGGACCGGGUUUGUCGUUCCAAUCUAUUUUUUAUUAGAUUAAUUUUUUUUCUAUCAUAGAUCAAUCUUCUGGUAUAUUUUCCUGUGUCGAUCUUGUGUCGGUCGGCGGAGAUCAAGCCGAAGCUGUCGACGACGCCCUCACGCAUCGAGACUUUCUUCGUGCUUUGCCGGCGGACAUGUGGUGGCCAUCGCUGGGCACAGUUUACCAGGAGAAAACACUGCAUGAGUUGAUUCAACUGAUCAACAUACAUGCACGAUCCAACCAACAUGCACAUUACAUCUACAGAGUUAAUCUGUUUACUAGUUGAUUCUAACCAGCAAUUAUUUUGUUGCUAUCUGUCUUGCAUGUACACCGCCGGCCGUAUCUACUGCCGGCUAUAUCCGUCAGCGCCGACCGGCUCCACCGUCUCCGUAGUCGGUCGCCUCCGAGCUGUUAUCAUUAGGCUUUACAGCUGCCCCGGUCGGUCAUCUACAUGCUGCCGACUCUCCGAGGUCGCAGGGCCGUUGAUGGCUUCCGCCGGCUACUGCUGAUCGAGGCAUUGCGACCCAAGCUGAUCGACGCGCACGACGUAUCCAAGCCACGCCGUACAACUUGGGUUGGCUGUUCCAAUUUAAUUUUUAUUAGAUUGAUUAUUAAUUAAUCCCUAAUCGCCGGCCGUUUUGAUUUCCUGGCAAUUUUUGUUGUUUUUCACAUGCUGGUUGAGAUCACGACACGGCCGCCAUCGUCGCCUACUCGGCCACUCGGGUGCCUCUUGCCGUGUCCGAGUGCUCCUCUCUUCCCUUCCAUGCAGAUGGACGUGCUGCUAGAUUGGCACAGGACACAGGAAUAUACUCGGCCACCAGGAGCAAGCACGUGUAUACGUCGAUUUAAUCUACAUGUAUGCUGGAGCGAUGGUUGUUCGCAUGCAUUGGAUGGCAGUCGAGAUCAAACAAUCAUUCACUGCUUGCGGCCUCGCUGCCACGGUUGGUGUGUGCCGCCGCCGUUGCCGAUAGCGACAUCGUCUUCACCACUGGCUUGCCUCCGUCGCCGCCGAUUGGUGCCUCCGCCUACACGGCUGGUCUAUUAUGCCGCCGCUGUUGGGCGUCUACGACUUCACCGCCGGCCUGCCUCCGUCGCCGCCGAGUGGUGCCUCCGCCUACACGGCUGGCCUAUUAUGCCGCCGCUGUUGGGCGUCUACGACUUCACGCCGCCGGCCUGCCUCCGUCGCCGCCGAUUGGUGCCUCCGCCUACACGGCUGGCCUGUUAUGCCGCCGCUGUUGGGCGUCUACGACUUCACCGCCGGCCUGCCUCCGUCGCCGCCGAUUGGUGCCUCCGCCUACACGGCUGGCCUAUUAUGCCGCCGCUGUUGGGCGUCUACGACUUCACCGCCGGCCUGCCUCCGUCGCCGCCGACUGGUGUCUUUGCCUAUAUGGUUGGUUGGUCACACCACCGUUGUUGGGCGUCUACGACUUCACCGCCGGCCUGCCUCCGUCGCCGCCGACUGGUGUCUUCGCCUAUAUGGUUGGUUGGUCACACCACCGUUGUUGGGCGUCUACAUCUUCACCGACCGGCCGUCUCGUCCGCCGCCGACUGGUGUUUCCGCCUGCACGGCUGGCCUAUUAUGCCGCCGCUGUUGGGCGUCUACGACUUCACCGCCGGCCUGCCUCCGUCGCCGCCGAGUGGUGCCUCCGCCUACACGGCUGGCCUAUUAUGCCGCCGCUGUUGGGCGUCUACGACUUCACCGCCGGCCUGCCUCCGUCGCCGCCGAUUGGUGCCUCCGCCUACACGGCUGGCCUGUUAUGCCGCCGCUGUUGGGCGUCUACGACUUCACCGCCGGCCUGCCUUCGUCGCCGCCGAUUGGUGCCUCCGCCUACACGGCUGGCCUAUUAUGCCGCCGCUGUUGGGCGUCUACGACUUCACCGCCGGCCUGCCUCCGUCGCCGCCGAGUGGUGUCUUCGCCUAUAUGGUUGGUUGGUCACACCACCGUUGUUGGGCGUCUACAUCUUCACCGACCGGCCGUCUCGUCCGCCGCCGACUGGUGUUUCCGCCUGCACGGCUGGCCUAUUAUGCCGCCGCUGUUGGGCGUCUACGACUUCACCGCCGGCCUGCCUCCGUCGCCGCCGACUGGUGUCUUCGCCUAUAUGGUUGGUUGGUCACACCACCGUUGUUGGGCGUCUACGUCUUCACCGACCGGCCGUCUCGUCCGCCGCCGACUGGUGUUUACGCCUGCACGGCUGGCCUAUUAUGCCGCCGCUGUUGGGCGUCUACGACUUCACCGCCGGCCUGCCUCCGUCGCCGCCGAGUGGUGCCUCCGCCUACACGGCUGGCCUAUUAUGCCGCCGCUGUUGGGCGUCUACGACUUCACCGCCGGCCUGCCUCCGUCGCCGCCGAUUGGUGCCUCCGCCUACACGGCUGGCCUGUUAUGCCGCCGCUGUUGGGCGUCUACGACUUCACCGCCGGCCUGCCUCCGUCGCCGCCGAUUGGUGCCUCCGCCUACACGGCUGGCCUAUUAUGCCGCCGCUGUUGGGCGUCUACGACUUCACCGCCGGCCUGCCUCCGUCGCCGCCGAGUGGUGUCUUCGCCUAUAUGGUUGGUUGGUCACACCACCGUUGUUGGGCGUCUACAUCUUCACCGACCGGCCGUCUCGUCCGCCGCCGACUGGUGUUUCCGCCUGCACGGCUGGCCUAUUAUGCCGCCGCUGUUGGGCGUCUACGACUUCACCGCCGGCCUGCCUCCGUCGCCGCCGACUGGUGUCUUCGCCUAUAUGGUUGGUUGGUCACACCACCGUUGUUGGGCGUCUACGUCUUCACCGACCGGCCGUCUCGUCCGCCGCCGACUGGUGUUUACGCCUGCACGGCUGGCCUAUUAUGCCGCCGCUGUUGGGCGUCUACGACUUCACCGCCGGCCUGCCUCCGUCGCCGCCGAUUGGUGCCUCCGCCUACACGGCUGGCCUAUUAUGCCGCCGCUGUUGGGCGUCUACGACUUCACCGCCGGCUUGCCUCCGUCGCCGCCGAGUGGUGCCUCCGCCUACACGGCUGGCCUAUUAUGCCGCCGCUGUUGGGCGUCUACGACUUCACCGCCGGCUUGCCUCCGUCGCCGCCGAGUGGUGCCUCCGCCUACACGGCUGGCCUAUUAUGCCGCCGCUGUUGGGCGUCUACGACUUCACCGCCGGCCUGCCUCCGUCGCCGCCGAGUGGUGCCUCCGCCUACACGGCUGGCCUAUUAUGCCGCCGCUGUUGGGCGUCUACGACUUCACCGCCGGCCUGCCUCCGUCGCCGCCGACUGGUGUCUUCAUUGUUAUUGAUGGACGACUUUGUUCCCACAUUGGUCACUUCUGCCAUCACCAAGGGGAAUAUUACAAAGCUAAGUCAUCAUUUAUUUUAUUUUUUAUAUGAUAUUUUUCCUUUUCCUCUGCCUCACUACACCAAUUGGUCUUCCAUUGAGUAGUGAGUCGAGGGCUAUAGAUGUUAUAUCAUAUUUUUUAUAAUAUUUAUCUUGAUUGCUUGCGACAUAAUCUGAGUACAAAAGUACCUAUCGAGUUAUGGAGUUCUAUCUUCCUAUGCUUUCCGUUUGGUUUGCCAUUGGAUGGUUGCCUUUGGGCCGAUUCCUAGCACCCGGGGGCUCGUUCGAUGGACCGAGUAACGCAAGGUGCUAAGUAUUAUUCGGAAUAAAUCAAAAGCAUAGAGACGAGAUAAAUUUAUUUUCUGCUCUUAAUAAUUGCAAAAGUACCCGAGUAGUAAAUUCUGAUCCGUGAAACUUUGUUCCAUUAAUGACGAACUCAUAUCACUCAUAUGCAUGUUUGGGAAAUGCCUAGGCCGACUCCCGAUGCUUGUGGGCUAUGACUAGUCGGACAGAGUGUUUAAAUGUACAGAGUCAUCUGCUCGGGGAAAUCACAAUUGAUAAGAGGAGAAAUACAUAUUUAUAAAUAUUUUAAAAUACUUGAUUUUUUCUCGAGUAUUAUAUUUAUAUCAGAUACUACUCAUCCGAUAUGUUUGUUCUGCAGGAUCCAGAUCCAGAUAUGCAUAAAAGGGAUUCAUGGCUUUAAGCUUAUCUCUUACGCUCCAGGAAUGGAUCAGUCAGAACAUCACCACCGGCUCGCCUCGACCGCCGCCGACUGGUGUUUCCGCCUGCACGGCUGGCCUAUUAUGCCGCCGUUGUUGGGCGUCUACGUCUUCACCGACCGGCUUGCCUUCGCCGCCGCCGACUGGUGUUUCCGCCUGCACGGCUGGCCUUUAUGCCGCCGUUGUUGGGCGUCUACGUCUUCACCGACCGGCUUGCCUUCGCCGCCGCCGACUGGUGUUUCCGCCUGCACGGCUGGCCUUUAUGCCGCCGUUGUUGGGCGUCUACGUCUUCGCCGACCGGCCGCCUCGUCCGCCGCCGACUGGUGCUUCCGCCUGCACGGCUGACUUAUUAUGCCGCCGUUGUUGGGCGUCUACGUCUUCACCGACCGGCUGCUUCGACCGCCGCCGACUGGUGUUUCCGCCUGCACGGCUGGCCUAUUAUGCUGCCGUUGUUGGGCGUCUACGUCUUCACCGACCGGCCGCUUCGACCGCCGCCGACUGGUGUUUCCGCCUGCACGGCUGGCCUAUUAUGCUGCCGUUGUUGGGCGUCUACGUCUUCACCGACCGGCCGCCGCAUCCGCCGCUGACUGGUGUCACCGCCUGCACGGCUGGCCUGUUAUAACGCCAACUGAUGCUAUCUUCUUCACGGCUGGCUACAUCGCUGUCACUACUAAUAGGCAUCAGUAUCUUCAACACAAGCUGCCUACGUUUGCCAUGGCUGCCGACUGGUUUCUUCACUUCCAUGGCUGCAUGAUUCUGCCAGUGUUGAUUGGCCUUACCAUCUUCAUCGCCGGUCGUCUCGUCUGCUGCUGACUAGUGCCCUCGCCUCUACAUCUGGUUUAUACAGCUACCACUACUGAUGGACAUCAUCAUCUUCCGUCGCCGACUGAUUAUGCCGCCGCCGACUGGUGCUUUUAUCUUCACAACUGCGCGUCUUCACUACCGGAUUUCUACUUGGACAUCUUCAACACAUAUCUUCAAUCAAGCAAUGAUUACUCGACGACAAGAAGCUAUAAUUCUCGACUCUAUGUUCAGUUGUUUCCCAACUAACCAAAGAGUCGGGGGCUACACAAAUACAAGACUCUCAAAAUUCGACAAGAUGAAGCAAUCAAUUAAUCAGCCAACGAGUCAAUUCCAGGAGUCAUUAUCUUCGUCUUUGCUUUAGAGCAGAGUUAUCAACCAAUCAGCUCAGUUUCGACGAGUUGGACAACAUCAUCUACUUUCCUCCAAGUGAAGCAUCUGCAACAGCUAUAACACCAAUUUGAUGGAUUAUUGUCACUGACAUCAUCACCAGCACCUCUGCUUCAUCGACCCUGACAUCUCUGCUGUUGCUAAUGGAUGAUUAUGUUUUCGCCGACUUAUUAUUUCACCUUGACGGUUGACCUACUAUGCAAAUGCUGAUGAGCGUCUUUGUCAUUAUCAUUGGUUGCUACACUGCUAUUGGCUGGAUCACCGACAUCGUCAUCUUCAUCAUGUCGGUUGCGUUUGUCGUCGUCAACUAUUUUCUUCAUCUUCAUGAUUGGUGGAUUUCGCCAUCACUGUUGAUGCGCGUCUACGUCUUCAUCGUCGGUUUGCUUUUGUCAUCACCGACUGUUUCUUCGCCUCCAUGGUUAUGCAACUUCAUUACCUUUGAUUGGUGUCACUGUUUUUUACUACCACUGACAUCUUCCGUUACUUCUGAUGAGCAAUUUCGUCUUCAUGUUGGUCAUUUCAUCUCCAUGCCGACUGCGUCAGCUAUUGCCAAUAGACAAUUUUGACUAUGACAGAAGGACAAGCUAUAUGCUCAGGGGCUCAUCAACUCAAGCGUGAGGAUUAUAUCUCCAAUUGGGACUUGUUCCGGAUACAUUCCACAUGGAUUCAUAGUCAUGAGUCUAUCUUCUAUGCUCAAAGACUGGACCAAUUAUUAUUCCCCGUAAAGGCUAUCAACUGAAUACUUGCGCCAGUCGGGAUUCAAUUAUUAUAUUUAUUUUGGAGUAUCCCAUAAGGGAUAGUCAUUCAGAUCAGAAGCUAUUCAUAUGAGCUACACUUGGUCUAUAUUACCCAGAAGAUUUGUUACUCGGGAGCAUGUCACAUGCGUCAUCCUUUAAAGGGUGUCGAAGGCAUAUUUUUUGGCCUAGGCCUAAUAUGUCUGCAGCCCAUAUUUUCAGGUGUGGCCUGUCACGUUCUUUUAGGGACUUAGGCACUUUUUGCUUAGGCCAAAGUGCGCGUGAUCAAGUGCCCAAUACCUUAAAAUCCUUUUAUACCGCAGUUACUUAACUUUUUAGGAGUUGGUACAAUGCAUCUUAAAAGGUGUCAAACAGUAAAGCUUUAUAUAGCUGUCCCGCUGACUUUUUUAUAUAUAAGUCAAGGUGCUGUUUGGGUUUUUAAGCAAUUGAUUGGAUACAAUAUCAUUGCUUUUUGCCACGUAAGUGUGCAUUUUUAUUGACCAAUAUUAUGGCUUAGGCUGAUUAUAUAUUGUGGUCAUUUUCUAGGCGGUUGGUAAAUCCUUUAUGAGUUUAUUUAUUCGGAUUUUACACCACAUAUGCCAUAUAUUUCCAGGUGUGGUGAAACCAUGUGUCUUCUAGGGACUUAAGCACAUCUGUUAAAGCAGUGUGCGCAUGGCGUAUGCCCAAUACUUUGGAAAUUUCUUUAUUCACAAUAUACAAGCUUCUUUAUAGCUAUUUUGCUAUAUCACUCAUCAUAUUUUACAAAGCAGUCGGUAUAUCACUUGGAUCAUAUUAUUCGGGGAUUCACACCGCAUAUGCUAUAUAUUGGUAUCAAGUCACUUGGUUGACUACGAUUAUCAAAACCACUCAGUUGGUGCAUCUAUUAGAUACAUCUAUUCGAUGCACCUGACUUUAUUUUUCAGCCCUCCACAGUCUUCAUAUUUGGUAAAAGUACUCGGGAGAUCAUGGUGAGGAUGAUUGAAGCACUCGGCUUUGGAGUAAUCUAGUUCGAGAAAAGAUUAUCUUUCCGACUGUGAAGGUCUCAGGGGCUACUGUGGAGAUUAUGGGUACCCCAUACCCACACGGCAUGGUUAUCCGACUAGUAAUAGGGGAUAACAUAUAUCUAUGGAAUAUGUAACCGAUCAUGACUUGGGUAUUACGUUUCCUUUUAUAUUAUGGAGCGGCCUAAAGUCCUGAUUCGAUAAUAUUGUAAAAUAGAUUUAGGAAACCGAUACCGUAUUGGUUAAGGUUUCUAUCUUGUAAUCCUGCCCCCCAUCCUAUAUAAGGUGGGCAGGAGGCCCUCUAGGGGGCAUGAGACAACCUGAUCGUCAGAUCAAUACACACUCGGCGGAUUCAAAUCCCCAAACAGGAGUAGGGUAUUACCUCUCAUUGAGAGGGCCUGAACCUGUCUAAAUCCUUUGUCUCUGCAUCCAUCCACUUUAGGUCUCGUCCGCUACCCCCUUUUAUUAUUGCCGAAUUCAUGUUUCGACAAUAUCGAAUAUACUAGAAAGUAACCGCAGCUUCGCGCGGAAGUAUACAUAGGCCAGGCCAAUAGGAUGCAGUGUGUUCCCUAUUAAUUAUCAUACCUUGUCAUCAGCUAAAUAAGGCAUUAAUCAUAUUCUGAUUGGCAUGCUCAUAUUGCAAAGCCCCAAAAUCCCUCAGUUCCCUUCGAGAAAAAGAAAACUAUCGGUUCCAUGUUUUACCAUCGUGUUGUUCUGCAGAAAUGAUUAUUUUCUGUUUGAUGGCCAUUUUGAAUAGAUAGAAAUUUACCAAAAGUUAUAAAUAGAUAGAAAUGCAUAUAUUAUAAAUAUACCAAAAGUUAGUGUUGUGCAUAAUCCAUAUAGCAAAAGUAUGCGGUCUUUAUCAGAUAGGUUAUCAAGCAGAGCGACUAUUUUGACUGUGUGUUUGAAUCAAACGAUAAUCAGUGUUUUCUUCACUACUACUUCUCUACGAUAAUAAUAUUAUAAAUAUUUAUGUAUUAUAUUGAAUAAUUAUAUGGUCGUCGUGGAACAUCUAAAGUAAAACCCUAGAGAAUUAAGACACUUAAGAAUCAGUGAAUCAAUAACAUCCUUUAUAAUAGUAAAUAUUGACAGAAGCAAUUAUAUAAAUAAUAAGUAAAUAGUAUCAUAAAGCAUUUUAUUAGAUGGAUUAGAUUUUCUCCGAUGUUUCAGAAAACUAAUAUGUGAUUCCAAAGUAUAUGAAUUGUACUGUAUAUUAAAGUUCUUCAGCAUAAUAUAUUUGAGCUAUGGACUCAAGGACAACAAGGUCCCGUCAAACAUUUAAGUUUCAUAAUAGUAAAAUUAUAUAAAGAAUUAUCACAGCUUGCUUAAGCUUCAAAUUUGCUUUUAACUACAAAAUCAUUCCAAUGAACAUGGCAGGCAAACCCCAAACAUCUUCUCUAGUUUGUUACUGUCAUAUAAUUAUAGAGAGCAUGCAAAGCACACUUGUGGUAAAAAAAAAACUUAACAUCAUUGAUUCAAAGUACAAAGAACUUGUCGAAUGAAAAUUUUUCUUUAGACCAACAAUGCAAUUUUUACUCUAGGAUAUACUUGUAUACUCCAUCUCGAAUAAAUGCAAUUCUUACUCUAGGCAGUCUAUACAUUACCCUGCUCAGUCAUGACUCAAAAUUAGUUCCAAGAAUAUGUAAUUAACGCAGCAAUUAAUCAUGUUUGAGGUGACUCCAUUUGUGAAGAUGAACUCUGCAUUAAAAAAGGAAAGUAUUACAUAUUAUGCAAUACUAACAGAUAUAUAGGCACUAUUCUUCUCAUCCCGAAAUCUGAUGAACUUGUAGAUAUGAUUGCUGCACUGGAGACGGUAAUAAUUUUUUCAAUAACAUUUGGAAAAAGAAAUCAAUAGAACAAGACAAUGAUGUGAACAAAUAUUAUCGAGAAGCAAGAAAGGGCAAAACUUAAGGAGUGCAGUAAAUAAUUCAUCUACAGAAAUCAUGACCAUAUCCAUAUGGUAAUCGAAUGAUCUUGGAUGGGAACACUUUCACUUUCUGCAUUGGACACUGAAAGAUCAUUAUCUCGUGGUAGUCCUGGAUGAGUUAUACAAAUCCUUGUAGCAAAAUCAGAGCAGCUUUUAAAAGCUUAUCGAUCUCAGUUUGAGCAGCCAACAGAUCAAGCUUUCUCAAGGUUACUUCUCAACCUAGGAUCAAUCAGCAAAGAACAAUUCUAAUUAUAGGAUCAGCUAUGGACAUCAAACAAUAAUUGCUUACAACAAUUUCACAUUUUUCUAGAACCAUACAAAAUAUGCAUUGUGUUCAUGUCCACUCGCCUGCAGUCCGCUCCCCAUCCAUCUAUGCACUGUCAGGGGAAGGGGAAGGGGAAGUGGACUCACGAGCUGGCGAGGAUGACGACCGAGAGAGGGGCAAGAGAUUAGAAAGGUAGCGGCAGCGGCUAUGUUGACGGCUACGGAUGGGAUCGACCACUAGGCGGCGGAUUGAGCGCCUUAACAUCGAAGUCCAGCCCCGGCGCCCGGCCAUCGAUCCCAGUCGAUUGCUGCGCCAAGCUCGACCACUGGCCUGCCGGGUCAAGCACAUCAGCAAGGAAGAAAGGGGGCGAGGAGGAGGCGGCGGCGCUCGGCUCGCGAGAUGAGAAUGCGCGGGAGAGGUAAAGUGAGGGAGGCGCUGUGGGAUAGGGUUUCUAGGGGCGACGCUUGACGAAUCGGCGAGGUCCGGCACUGAUGUGGAGCGGCGGUUGCCCGGCUCGCGACUUGCCGAAGGAGCCGAGGAGGAAGAAGCGAGGCCGCGAGAGGAGACGAUUUCUCUGGAAGGGAUGUCACCUUUUCCGUUUAACCCCCUGAGAAAUCUAAAAUUUACAGUUAGAUCCUUUGUUCCUUCUAUGCCGUUGUUUUGUUAUCCAACGGAUGCAGGGUGAGAGCCAAUUCCAUCAAUUGCGCGAUGCCACGUGGCGGGGCUGUCCGGCCGAGAACGUGCCCGGAAUUCGGUAUAAGAGAUAGUAACAAGUGGUUCUUCACGUUAUUUGAUACGGAGUAGUACUACUAAGUCUAAGUUCGCAUGUUUAAGGUAGCGUCUAAGUCAAACAAUGAUGGCCGGUCAACGGCCAUAACGACACAAGCUAGCUAGCUUGUGCGAUGCAAUGUUUCGAAGCAUCGAUUUUUUACCAUGAACCACACCCCCUGCUUAAGACCAAUGACCACCAACAGUGGCUAUCCGAGUUUGACAGUCAACCUUAAACCUUCACAUGAUGGCGGCAUUCUUAUUGACAAAUUGUUUACUUCUAUCUGCCUUUUCAGCUGUGAUGUUUAACAAUAUGCUAUCUGGCACAUGCACGAUAUCACUAAGAUAAUGCUUGGGGGUGGUCAAUUUUCAUUUGAAAUCUCUGGUUCCUGCACAAGCAACUUUCCUGCGCUCAGGUAUAGGCGUAUAGCUUGACACUCAAAUUAAGUACAUGUACCACUUGAUUUGUGUCUAGUGUAAAUCGCAUUAGCCAUCGAUUUCGAAUAUUAAAGAAAAGAUCGCAGUGAAAUAUUCCUGAUUGGAAGAUGCUUGACGGAAUAUAUGCAAUAACUGACGUGAUCUUUUUUAAAAAGGGGAAUUUUAGGUACCGCUGAUAAUAAUGAAUGAAUAAAGACCGUCCAUUACUUUUCUAACCCAACGGAUUAAUAUACCAGUUAAAUUUAGGGUUGAAGAAAUUAAGAUGAAAUUCUUUUGUUCACAAUACUUAAAACCGUGCACAAUUUUCAGCAAAAUUAGAUGGAAAAUAGGCCAUAACGCAUAUUAGCGAUAAAAAAUAAUUCGUAAGUAAUUUUUUGUGUGUGUUUUAGCGACUCAAUAAUCAAAUGCUAUAAGAUUCUAGUAAGAUGAGAAAAAAGAAGCACCAAAAUCAACUCUAAAAUUAAAUUUACAAGGGUUAAUUCGCGAGUAAUAACGGUAAUAAUCUGGGUAUCGUAUCCAGCACAUGUCUCUUCACGCCCGGAGAUUCCAAUCCGGGUUAACCAACCUUAUCGCCGCUGAAUGAGACUGACGACCCAACGAUCUGCAGCAAGUUAAUUAAUUUUAUGUGCGUCGAUGCCGCACUAUAAAUUAGUCAUGCACAGUUGCAUCCAUGGCUGCCAAGCUCGAACAAGCAAUUCUCAGGGAUAAUCACACGAUAGUAGAGCUUAAUUAGUAUCAUCAACCGUGCCACGGUGCCGAUCGAUCAGCGACACAACAAUUAAGCUCUUCAACAUGUCGUGCAAUUCUGCCGAGGUCGCGGCCAACGACGGCAGCAGCAAUGGCGGUGAGAAGCAGCAGCAGCAGGAGGAGGAGGUGGUGUGCGUGACGGGAGCGGGAGGCUUCAUCGGAUCAUGGGUGGUGAAGGAGCACCUCCUCCGUGGCUACCGCGUCAGGGGAACAGCCAGGGAUCCCACCAAGAACGCCCACCUGCUCGCGCUCGACGGAGCCGGCGAGAGGCUCACCCUGUGCCGCGCCGACGUCCUGGACUCCGAGAGCCUGCGCGCCGCGUUCGCCGGAUGCCAUGGCGUCUUCCACGUCGCCUCCCCGGUGUCCAAUGACCCUGUGAGUUCACUGUUCAGAAAGACAAAUUAUAUAAUUGCUUUGUUUGAUCGAGUAGACGAGUACUUACAGAUGGCUGCUGCUGCUCCGUUUGCUGCAGAAUCUGGUGCCGAUCGCGGUGGAGGGGACGAGGAACGUGGUGAACGCGGCGGCGGACAUGGGCGUGCGGCGCGUGGUGUUCACGUCGUCGUACGGCGCCGUGCACAUGAACCCCAACCGGAGCCCCGACACCGUCCUCGACGAGACCUGCUGGAGCGACCCCAAAUUCUGCCGCCAAACCGACGUAAGUUCAGUUCCCUCUCUGCACUGUACCAUGCGAUUCUCAAUUCGGAAAUCUGAGACGCACCGUGACAUGAACAACGACGACGCAGGUAUACUGCUACGCGAAGACGAUGGCGGAGAAGGCGGCGGAGGAGGAGGCGGCAAAGCGAGGCGUGCAGCUGGCGGUGGUGCUGCCCUGCGUGACGGUCGGGCCAAUCUUGCACCCGGCCAUCAACACCAGCAUCAACCACGUCGUCCGCUACCUCACGGGCGCCGCGCCCACCUACCCGAACGCCGUCGCGGCCUACGUCGACGUCCGCGACGUCGCCCGCGCGCACGCACUCGUCUACGAGCGCCACGACGCCCGCGGCCGCUACCUCUGCAUCGGCGCCGUGCUCCACCGCGCCCAUCUCCUCCAGAUGCUCAAGGAACUUUUCCCACAGUACCCCGUCACUUCCAAGUACGUAGUUGCAUAUAUAACGUUGCAUGAAUCCUGUGCCGUCAAAGCCACAUAACUUUUUUCUUUGACAUAUAGGCUCAAUAAUCAUUAGGCUCACAUGUCACAUGUCAGUGAUAAGGCACCGUGCAUUUGAUUAUAGAGGAUCUCAAUUCUUAUGAUAGAUGCAGUGCCCUUCUCAAAUUAUCACGUAUUGAUCAUGUUGUGAUUUUCAUUUCUGGUUAUUUUUUUUAGGUGCAAGGACGAUGGGAAUCCGAUGGUGGAACCGUACAAGUUCUCGAACCAGAGGCUCAAGGAUUUGGGCUUCGAAUUCACACCAAUGAGGAAGUGUCUGUAUGACGCAGUCGUAUGCAUGCAACAGAAGGGGCACCUCCCGCUGGUUGGUACCGCCGUACCGGACCAAAAUGUGACCUCUAAUACGAGCUCGAUCGUCUAAGGCAACUGGUAGAUUCGAGUAAUCUUCUGAUGUUAUCACAAUAGCAGAAAUGGACUGUAGUCUAGGUUAUAACGGUUUAUGUUAACCCAAGGAGUUUCCACAGAAAUACUACUCGAAAAUAUCUGAAAUUACUAGCGAAAUGUCUAUGCUUUGCUACGGAUAAUAUAAAAUGUAUUGUAAUGAAAUAUGUAAAUAUAUGUUAUUGGCAAAUAUGUAUUAGGAAUGACCAGUGUAAAAAUACAAUGUAUAAAUAUCCAAAAUUACAUCCAACAAUAAUUAAUUUUCAGUAAAGAAAAGGAUGAUCAAGAAUAUUUGAUUUUAACACAUGUUCUAUAGUAUAAUCAGAUAUCACUAAAAUUUGAAACAAAAAAAAACUUAAGACUCUUGUCAAAUAUCAUACAAGAGCACCUUUUAUAAUGAAUGAUAAGGUCCCAUGAAGGUAAUGGUGAAUGGAAAUCUGGAUUUCAUUUGAAUUGAGUACUAACCAGAGCUCUAACGUCUGAUGAAGGUCUCUAUUAUUCAGAGGUGGAGAUUUAUUUGAAGUCUGAUGAAAGUAUAAUAUUGAGACGUUGUUGGAAAGGUAUAACUCUAGAGUAACUAGUAAGAGAAGUGGAGUCGGGUAUCUAAACUCUGGAGCAGAUUCAAAUUGUAUUGUUUUCAAAUUGUUUAAAACCUUAAAAGAGUAUUCAAACUGUUUUUCCUUGGUUGCAAAUCCUGUAUGGUUUUCAAAUAAUGUUUAACAAGUUCUAACGAAGGUAUGUCUGAAGCUUUAGUUUUUAAUAAUCUGAAUGAUCAAUUUCAGAUUAGUAUUUUUCUAUAUCCUAUAAUCAUAAGACCAAAUAAAAAUUUAAACAAUGUAUUGGUUGGGGUGCGCCAGGCCCGGGCAGCAGUGCAACGCCUGGGCGACGCAUGAGGGCCCCAGUGGCAAGCCACUGUAGUGGGCCCUCCCCCACAAAAAAUAAAUUUAAUAUCAAAGUGGACACAUGGCCCACAUAUCAGAUAUUAAACUGAUAAGAACAGAUACUACACUUGAUCUUAGCCAAAAGGCCGAGAAAGGUAUGAGUUGCUUAGUCCAACCCUGCCUGCUUGUAUACAGAGCGCAGCGCCAUCUACUACCCUCCGUCUCCGAGGUGGUACUAAACCGAGUGCCAUCCAUCCAUCUGCCCGGUGCAAGCGCGGAUAUGGGCUGGCAUUUCCCUUUUAGGGCCGAAAUAUGGGCUGGAUUUACUGCUGUUGCGUGUUACUAGUGGUAAAGGCCCAAUACUAGAACUGGGCUGUCUAUAUCCGUCACGGUCCACGGUGGUAAAUGGGCCGGCCCAGCAAGGGCUGGCUCUUCUAGAAGAGAAACGGACUGCUCUCUCGCCCUGGCGUCGCAGCCAUGGCUAGCGCCCACAAUUGAAGGCGAGGACGAAGACGUCAAGAAGUUGUUGUUCUAAACUGAGUCAAGUGAACGGUGAAUCUAUUUGGUUAGCUCUUCUAUUUCGGCGGAAUUUGUUGUCAUGAGGUCACUAUUGCCGCAAAUAUAAGUGGUUCUUUUACGUGUGUUUUGGCACCAUUCAUUGUUUAACUGUGUGCUGGUAGUGUCCGAGUCAAUUAGUUAGUCAAACAUGAUGGUCGGCUAAAUGGCCAUUGGCCAUGACAGUAUGACACUAGCUUCUGCCGUGCGAGGUUUUGAAGAUUUUCCCAAAAAAUCUUUAUCCCCUGCUUGAGACCAGUUACCAGCAGUUAUCCGAAUCUAUCUAUCUAUCUAUUAUUAUUAUAUUAUUAUUAAAGGAAUAGAAAAAUGAGCCUCCACGUUCGCUCUCAUGGCCUAGAAAUUCUCACAUUAAUCGAAGAAAAAGAAAAAGCAGAGUCCAUAGAAAUACAAUUUAGAAAUAGCUGAAAAUCGGAAUUAAAAAAUAAGGAAUAUUAGAAGAGGAGACUAGAGUCCAUAUAGAAAUACAAUUUAAAAAUAGCUGAAAUUCGGAAUUAAAAAAUAAGAAAUAUUAGAAGAGGAGAGUAGAGUCCAUAUAGAAAUACAAUUUAGAAAUAGCUGAAAUUCGGAAUUAAAAAAUAAGGAAUAUUAUAAAAGGAGACUAGAGUCCAUAUAGAAAUACAAUUUAGAAAUAACUGAAAUUCUGAAUUAAAAAAUAAGGAAUAUUAGAAGAGGAGACUAGAGUCCAUAUAGAAAUACACUUUAGAAAUAGUUGAAAUUCAGAAUUAAAAAAUAAGGAAUAUUAGAAGAGGAGACUAGAGUCCAUAUAGAAAUACAAUAAGGAAAUAACUGAAAUUCGGAAUUAAAAAUAAGGAAUAUUAGAAGUAGAGUAUAGAGUCCAUAUAUAAAAUACAAUUAGGUAAUAACAGAAAUUCGGAAUUAAAAAUAAGGAAUAUUAGAAGUAGAGUAUAGAGUCCAUAUAGAAAUACAAUUAAGAAAAAAAAUAGAAAUUUAGAAUUAAAAAAUAAGGAAUAUUAUAAGUAGAGUAUAGAGUUCAUAUUGGAAUUUAGAACCAACUAAAAUUCGAAAUAAAAAGGAGCCUCCACGUUCGCUCUCAUGGCCUAGAAAUUCUCACAUUAAUCAGAGAAAAAGAAAAUGCAGAGUCUAUAUAGAAAUACAAUUUAGAAAUAGCUGAAAUUCAGAAUUAAAAAAUAAGGAAUAUUAGAAAAGGAGACUAGAGUAGUUAUUACACAUUAGUAGUUUUAAAAAGUUAUUGCAAAAUUUAAAAUUAUAUUGUCAUUGUAAUAUAUUUUAAUAAUAUAGUGAGAAAACAUAUAUGCUAUUAUAUGAGAGAAAAUAUAAUGAUGCUAGCCGCGCAGAUUGUGCGGGCCACCAUGCUAGUUAUUUAACAGUCAAUUUGUAAAUUCAAGUCUUCUUUUGCUUCAGAUGAUAGUAAUUUGUCUAUUGUCAAUUUUUAUUGUAACUUCAAAUAUUUUUCUAAGAGUGAAGUGCACCAGCGGUCCCUAAACUUAUGCGGGUGUGUCAUCUAGGUCCCUGAACUCUCAAAAUAUAUUUUUGGAUCCCCGAACUUGUCUUGUGUGUCGUAUAGGUCCAUCCGAUGACAUGGCAUGCCACGGUGACGCCUACGUGUCGGUGAGGACCCCACAUGUCAGUCAUAUGUAUAAAAAUAAAAUUAAAAACCAUAUUUUCUCCUCUCUACCUCCGCGUCGAACUCCACUGCCUCCGCUCACCGGCAUGCGCGCGCCGGCCUACGUGCGUAGGCUCCGUCGGCUCCGCCACACUGGCCUCCUCGCUGCGGGCGAAGCCGUACCCACCUCGGCCCGGCCAGGCAGCCUCAGCCGGCUCUCCGCGUCAAGCUCCGCCGCCUCCGCCUCCGUGCCGCAAGCGACGCCGCACUCGCCUCGCCCGAGGCCGCUUCCUCGGCACCCUCCGCGCCGCAAGCGACGCCGCGGCUUCUGUUCAAUUAGCCCGCAUAGUUAUGGUUGCAUGCACGGGCGGCAUGCAUUGGAUUCCCAUGCUGCGUGCAUAUGUAGCAUGCAUGGGCGCACGCUACGCGCAUGGCGGCUAGCUCCGCCUAGCACUCCGCUGGCUUCAGCCGAGUAACCCGCAUGCCGCUCCACGACCUCCACUCUCGCCUCUCGCCACGGCCAAGGCCGUUCCGCCUCAGCUUGAGCUCCGGCUCGCCGCAAGCGCCGUCGAGGGACCAACUCCGCGCGGGCCACGGAGUCACCUCCGCGUCGGCAAGCCUCCGCGUCCGCGCGCGGCUCCAUCGCCUCCGCGGCCACGCGCGACUCUGCCAACGCCGAGGGGCUCCGGCCGUUGUGGUUGUCCGCCUCGGCGUUGAGCCACGGCUCCGUCACCUCAGCGAUCACGCGCAACUCCUAUGCUGUCAACGUUGCGACCUCGCGCGGCUCGCCGUCACUGCCGCCACGUGCGACUCCGCCGGCCGCGCGCGGCUACGUCGCCUCCCCACCCAGGCGCGACACGGCAAACCCCUCCACGCGACACGGCGGCCAGACCGCCGCAGCUACUCGCUGGCCUCCGCUCGGUAGCACGUGUGGAUAGAUGCAUGCAGUGCACGGCUCUAUUCACGUGGCAAGGUGCAGGAGCGUGGCAAUCUGCAGCCAUGCCUGCGUUCGGGGACCUAUAUGACACGCAAGACAAGUUCGGGGACUUAAAAAUGCAUUUUGAGAGUUCAGGGACCUAGAUGACACGCCCGCACAAGUUUAGGGACCGCUGGUGCACUUCACUCUUUUUCUAAUAUCGAAUGAUGGUGAUAUUUUUGUUGUUAAUUGUUGAGCUUUUCUUGAUUCGUUAGAAGUGAUAUUAUGGGACACGCAUGAUAUUAAUAAGAAGAUGUCUAUAACAAUCUUGUCUCAAACAAUCCGAUAUCUAUACUACUAUAAAAAAUAAAAAAUAGUACCGGUGGUGGUCACCACCACCCUCAACUAUCACGUGGGAAAAAUAUGAUAGCCGAAUAUUCUCAUUAUGAAAUUUUUCGUUACCCUAAACAAUAGAAAUACUUUUUUUAGAGGCUUAAAAAUAUAUACAAUGAACUAUUUUAUAAAAUAAGCUGUUGCAAUGUACGGCCAUUAUGCUAGUAAAAGCAAAAUUGGCCGGCAUAUGGAAAUAGAGAAUGCAGUACUGGUGAUUGGAAUACCUGACCGCAUAUGCAGACGUCAUCCCUAACGUCAUCUUGUUAAAAGGAGGGAACAGAUAGCCCACAAUGAUAUUCGCCUUGUCUGGAAGAUACCUUGUAAUCUAGGUACAGUACUAAAUCGUUACUACCUCCGUCCCAAAAUAAAAAUAUUUGGAUCUUGAUACGGUCUCCGAGAUAUUAUUUUAACUAAUAAUAUAUAUAAAAAUAAGAUGUUUUAAAUAAAAAGAGUGGUAUAUUAUGAUAGUUUGUUUAGUAAUAAAUCUACCAACAUUAAUUUUAUAUGAUUGUUUUUUUUUAUAUUUUUACUAUUAAUAGUUAAAGUUAAAAAUGUUAGAUAUUUUAGGAGGAGGAGGGAGUAGAUUCUUUAGAUUUUUGCAUCUCCUGUAAAGGCAGCUUACGUAUCGAAUUUUGAAACUAACCAUGUUUCUAUGCCGGUGUAGUGCAGACUGGAGCAACGGCGGGCGAUCGCGCCGCUGAAUUAAUCGGAUUACUAAUUGACAGCCCAAUGAUUUUGCAGCUGCGCCUCCCUCACCAACCCACGACCCGCUGAAUAUGUUAGCCACUCCAUGGCUGAUGCCGCACUAUAAAUAAGCCACACGCCCUCCAUGUAUGCCUCACUCGAGCUCGAACAAUCUAUAUAUUGUCAGAGACGCACACUUUACUGAUCAGCUAGUUAGUCCCAGUUCUGAAGAACAACUGGAAAAAGAAAAUCGAGCUGUAAAAAUAUUAGUACCAGUGAUCAGUGACAGUUCAGAGCAUCAACCAUGUCGUCCAACAAUUCCAUGGAGGCCAACAAUGGCGAUGAUGAGAAGAAGCAAGAGCAGGUGGUGUGCGUGACGGGAGCGGGAGGCUUCAUCGGGUCGUGGGUGGUGAAGGAGCUCCUCCUCCGCGGCUACCGCGUGAGGGGAACAGCCAGGGAUCCCCGCAAGAACGCCCACCUGCUUGAUCUUGAGGGAGCCAAGGAGAGGCUGACACUGUGCCGCGCCGACGUCCUGGACUUCGCCAGCCUACGCGCCGCGUUCGCCGGGUGCCAUGGCGUCUUCCACAUCGCCUCCCCGGUGUCCAAGGACCCUGUAAGCUACUCUUGGCUUGCUUGUUUCGUCGAGUAUUUUACCAAUGCCGUGGCCGACGACUGAGCUGCUUGUCCGUUUUUGCUGCAGAAUCUGGUGCCGGUCGCGAUUGAGGGGACGAGGAACGUGAUGAAGGCGGCGGCGGACAUGGGCGUGCGGCGCGUGGUGUUCACGUCGUCGUACGGCGCCGUGCACAUGAACCCCAACCGGAGCCCCGACGCCGUCCUCGACGAGUCCUGCUGGAGCGACCCCGAAUUCUGCCAGCGAGAGGACGUACGUAAACAUAUGAGUAUUUGACUGUACAAAUGUUUAUCAGUUCAGAAAUCUGAAACGCACCGUACUUGACAUGACGAAUGCAGAUAUACUGCUACGCCAAGAUGAUGGCGGAGAAGACGGCGACGGAGGAGGCGUCGAGGCGUCGGCUGCAGCUCGCGGUGGUGGUGCCGUGCGUGACGGUGGGUCCCAUCCUGCAGCCGUCCGUCAACUUCAGCUGCCACCACGUCGUCCGCUACCUCACCGGCGCCGCGGCCACCUACCCCAACGCCGUCGCCGCCUACGCCGACGUCCGCGACGUCGCCCGCGCCCACGUCCUCGUCUACGAGCACCACGGCGCGCGCGGCCGCUACCUCUGCAUCGGCACCGUCAUCCACCGCGCCGAGCUCCUCCGGAUGCUCAAGGAGCUCUUCCCCCAGUACCCCGUCACUUCAAAGUACGUACUCCCUCCGUCUUAAAAUAUAACAAGGUUAUACUAGAUGGAGUCUGGAUGAGAUAUAUUCUAGUACAUCAAAUCUAGACAUGGGUAUCCUCUGUCUCAAAACCUUAUAUUGGAUGAGAUAUAUUCUAGCACAACGAAUCUAGACAUAUCCAUAUCUAGAUUUGUUGUACUAUGAUGGAGAGAGUAACAAUUUUUACACUACUCCAACCAUCCUAUAAAAAACCAAUCUGUUAGACUAGUAGAACACAUCCUAUUACUACGAAUCCGGACAUACAUAUAUUAAGAUUUAUAGUAUUAGGGCUGUCUUUAGAUCCAAACUUUGGAUCUAAAUUUCUAACUUUUUCCAUCACAUCAACCUGUCAUACAUACACAACUUUUCAGUCAUAUCGCACCAAUUUCAACCCAAACUUCUAACUUUGGGAGGAACUUAACACAGCUUAGAAUGUGUCACAUCUGAUUCUAGAUUCAUUUUUAAUGUGAUGAAGAGAAUACGAUUAUUGCCAUGACAAGAUCGAUCUGAAUUGUUACAAUUAAUCUUACAAUUUGCAGGUGUGAGGAUGAGGGGAAUCAGAUGGUGAAGCCGUACAAGUUCUCGAACCAGAGGCUCAGGGAUUUGGGUUUGGAGUUUACUCCACUGAGGAAGAGCUUGCAUGAGGCGAUCGAAUGUCUGCAGCGCAAGGGUCACCUGCCUGUUGUCACGGUGGCACAACAGCGUGCAUGUUUGUAGAACCAAGAUUUUAUACACGGUGAACUUCCAAGUUCCAAAGAUAAUAAAAGCAGAGACAUGACAGCGGCGGCAUAUGCAUAACAAAUUUAUAUUUUGGCGGCGGCUUAAAUUUGAAAUUUUGUCUACCUGAAGAAUAAAGUAGGAGUACCAUAUAAAGGGAAGUUCAGCGUGGAAGAACCCGUACUACUACUACUCCUAGCUAGCCAGUUCAUAUCGUAAAUCUGCAUGUGUAACACAAGUUCUUUCUUUGGUAUGAAUUACAUCUGUAUCUCUACUUUGUUCAUACUUCUACGAUAUAAAAUGAAAAAAAAUAUUAUAUAAUACCGAUCGAGAAUGUAUCUAAGAAACAGGAAUGAAAUUAAGGGAGGAAUAGCGCACCUCUCCUCUACUCUACAUGCAUCGAAAGGAUUCUGCAAUGAACACUCUCUGAUACAAAGCAUUCUGCAAUAGUAGUACAAUGAGAUUUAUUUGGAGAGUGGGAGAACACAAACCAAUUUAUCUUUGGAUCUUCUAACAACUUGCCUUCCACUUGGCUCAUCAUCACUUUGUUCGGUCCAUACAAACUGCGUGCGUGCUUGGGCCGCAUACAAACUGCAAGGGGUGGGUGCCCACGUACAGGGAGAGCAACGCAGGAGAACAACAAACAAAUUGGGAAAAAAAAUGGGGAUCUGUGGGGUUCGGAGAAGAAAACUCCGACCCCUUUGGAUAUAUUUGUAUUCGCCUCGAUCAACAUCUACGGGAGCGUGUGAUUAGUUCCGUUUAGCAACUCACACAUUCAGAGCGUACGCAGACUGUCGAGUCUGUGGUUCCAACCAUAAACCACGUCUGCGAUCGGCAGCUAGCAAGCAUGUGCAUGCUUGCUUCUAUGCUCUCCAGCAUUCAGGUACAUAUUUUUUAGAUAAUGGAAUAUAAUAUCCCGGCCUUUGCUAAAAAGAACUACAGCCAAUUAUUACAAAGAUCCACUCCAGAAGAGAGUGUAGUUCAAGACAAGUUGAACACACAAAACAAGAGAAGAGAUGACCCAAACUGAGAAAAGCAAAACAAAAUGUGGAGCUAGAAGGCCUCAUCAAAGCCUAGGACUGAAGUUUGCCAAUGCAUAGACCAAUGGCAAUAUCCUUGCACGAAGAGGUUUUUCCAAAGCGGUGCCCCCAAGGAGGAUGCGACGUGGAUCGCCGCCACCGCUUGUUCGGAAUCGAAGCAAGGUUUUCACCCGGAGAAUAUGGUAGGGAAAGAAAAUGGGUAUGCUAAAACAACGCCUCUAAGGAGGGGAACGACGCCAAACGGCGUCGCCGUUGUCAGCCGGCCAAAUGGCUCGGCAAGGCUUUCGCCCGCGAUUCCCUGUCCAAACCCACACCACCAAUCCGCACAAGAAGAAUCGUCGUCGGUCAACAACAUUGUCCCUUCAGCGAUUCGGCCAAGACCACCGCCCACAGUUCUUCCCGCCGUCGACGACGCGCCCGCACCCGGACUCCUCCUUCCCCGCCUCCACAUAUCACCUCCGCCGAUGACGCACCGUCAGUCGGAUGAUGGCCUUCAACCAUCGCCGCCAUAGGUAACAUCGUCGAUAGCCGCCACCGUCACUGCCACAGCCACCACCGUCAGCCACCAUCGCCAUCGCCACCGCCACCGCCACCGCCACCCCCGUCCAGCCGCCACCGUCGCUAGCCAGGGCCACCAGACGCCAGACGUCCAGAUCCGGCCGGGGUGACGCGGAUCGGAGGUGCAGCGCGACGCGCGGGUCGCUGGCAUCAUGGAGGAAGGCGUCACGGGCACGGCGUUCACAUCCGGAGCAAUGACGAGGGCCGGCGUCGCGGCACGAGCCGCAGUCCGCCGCCGUCGUCGCCAACUUCGUCUCCACCACAUCCGCCACCACCGCCGCCGCUAGCCACCCCCCGGCGUCGACCGACGUCGCCGGUCACCCCGGCCAAGCGGGGAGACCAGAUCGUCGCCCGUCGCUGGAGCCGCAUAGCCCCACCGCCACGCCGCCCGUGGAGCGCCCCCCUCCCCCCCGCUGCGCUGUCGCCGCGCCGUCCCGCCACCAUCGUCGCCACGCCCGCGCCGGGGCGAGGUGGAGCCGAGGAGGAUGGCCCCGCCGCCGCCAUCCCAGCGCGUCGCCCGGCUUUGCCGGCGACUAGCUCCGGCGGCGGCGAAGCACGGAGGAGGGAGGAGGAGGGGCGGCGGCAGCGGCGGCUAGGGUUUCGCCUCCGCCGAGGGGCUGGGUUGGGGCGAUCAGGUACAUAUACGUACUGAACAUGGCAAAGGCAUUUUGCAGAACUUGAAGCUUCAAAAAUCACAUGUUUAAGAAUUAAGAGAAAACUAUCCAAGGAAAACUAGGCCUAGUUUAAUUAGGGGGGGAGGGAUAAUCGAGCAAGGAAACAGCGCAGUCUCUGACUCUGAGAACUAAGGAACGAAUGGAAGAAAAAAGAGUGCGAUAUAUAGGCAGGUACAUCCGAGGGGACACGACAGCCAAGCCAAGGCUGUGUUUAAUUUUUGAAAAAAGUUAAAAGUUUGGAGAAAGUUGAAAGUUUAAAAAAAAGUUAUAAGUUUAUGUGUGUAGAAAAGUUUUGGAUGUGAUGUGAUGUGAUGGAAAGUUGGAAGUUAGGGGUGAACUAAACACGGUCCAAGCAUGGAAGCUAAUUUCAUGUCCCCUUCAGUUCAAUGGCUACGUUCAUUUGAUCAUUUCAUCUAUUAGCAUCGAUUCUAUUGCUAGCUGCAGGUGGCCAGAGAGAGGAAGAGAGGAGGGGAAGCGGACGGGCUAGGAAGAAUGGGAACUAAUGGGCCGGAUUGACUACUUUGCUACAUUGGAUUUAGAUGGGCUGAAUUUACCUUGGGUUGAAGAAAUUGGAAAAUUGGCGGUCCAACGGGGUUUGGAAAAGAAAACUCCGAACCCCUCCGAUCACACUGCUACCGUCCGAUUCAUGCUUAAUUAGAUUCAACGGUUUCGUUGAGAACAGGGCUGUCCAGCUUCGUUGUACUAGGUCCUUUUAGAUUAUUUUUUUUAUGGAGGGAGUAUUUUUCUUCUCCUCUGAGACACGCGUGACGUGAGUUUGUGACGGUUGAUGGUGAUGCGGUGGAUUGCGUUGUCUACCUUGCCACUCAAACGUUACUUAAAAACAGGUAAAGAAAAAAAAAUCACCUGUACCCGUAUUCAUGAUGCGUCGUGAUUCACGCACAUACAUUUGACUUGCACGACACAUUCAAAUUAAAUUUGACUUGCACGAUACUUUCGAGUCAUUGCAUUCCUUGUUAAGAGAAGGUAAACAUGGAACCCACCCACUCCAACAUUGGAAGAUGGAAGCAAGGUAAAAAUAAUACUCGCAAGUCAAAUUGCUCGAUCUUCACAUGAGCGAUCGAUACCGGCCGGUGUAUAAAUACAUGAUGGCAGUGGCUGCAGGCUUAUACACAAAAUUAAAACCUCGAUCGAUCGAACAACGACAAUCUUUCAACUAGCUCUAGCUCGGCAUCACCAUCACCAUCACCAUGUCGUCCAUUUCCAACGACAACAAUGGUGAUCAGAAGCGACAGCAGCAGCAGCAGCUGGUGUGCGUGACCGGAGCAGGUGGCUUCAUCGGGUCAUGGGUGGUGCGGGAGCUCCUCCUCCGUGGCUACCGCGUCAGGGCCACCGUCAGGGACCCCGCGGACCGCAAGAACGCCCACCUGCUCGCGCUGGAGGGAGCCCACGAGAGGCUCUCCCUGCGCC
RNAcentral lists this long non-coding RNA (53770 nucleotides) under Oryza sativa (Asian cultivated rice). Its description in RNAcentral is "long non-coding RNA (OSAT_LNC000470)". The stretch from base 28542 to 28750 matches the Rfam family "MIR812 microRNA precursor family". The record is from RNAcentral. Lineage: Eukaryota; Viridiplantae; Streptophyta; Magnoliopsida; Poales; Poaceae.